UCUUUGCUUGAAAGUUGCAGCUAAGCUAGGCCCAACCGCCUAAGCUUAAAGAACAAUACUCACCAACCGAAUAAUAUCUAGUACUGUUAGUGGGUAAGGGCAAUCAAGUGCACAUUAUCAAAAGUCAUCCCUUUUUUGUAGGUGAAUCAAAAUUGAAAAAGGCAUUCUCAUGUCCAAUCCUCUUGUCUCCUGACAAAUUGGAUGAGAGGGGAAAACAACUGCACAAGUGCUAGCUAGCCUGUGAUCUUGGUUUAGAUGAUCAAAACAAAUUAGUAAGGGCAUGUUCUGUUUUAGGCCUAAUUAAUGGGCCCACUCAGCUGAACAAAAGAACUGUCAUUAGGGCAUAUAUAGUGGAGUGAUUACUUUCCAAGGGUGCAUGAUGAACCUAGUCUUUACAGCAAAGAGGGAGCAUGCGAGAUCUCCAAGCAUUGUGCAUCAACACUAGGACAAUUUGCAUGCACUUCCUAGCUACAAAGUACCUGAAACUUACAGCAUCUCCAGCUUUUUUUUUUGUCUUCCUGAGAUUGUUUUGUAUGCAUAUUUUAACGGGAAGAGUUGACUGCAAAAUUAAAGCACAAGGAAAAAAAAGCAAAAAAGGGCACGGCAUGGUCAACAAGAAAUGGUCACUCGCAAAAAACAAACAAGAAAUGGUCAAACACUAUCUGCAAUUAAGCAAGCAAAGUACCAAACCAUGGUACUAAUUCAGGAGAAUAAUGCUCAUUGAAGAACAUCAUGUCCGGCCUAGUAAAAUAAGAGAUCCAUUUCCUCUAGCUGGCUCCAUGUGCAUUCCCCUACUUUCUUUUUGUCGUGUGUAAAUUGUACGUAGGUCCUUUUUCCUAGUGCAUCCAGUACACACUUUGUGCGUACGUGCGUUCUCCUUAAAAAAAAGUGAGUACUCGUAUGCUGAACCCUUUUUUUUUAAGGGAAUAUGCUCAACCCUUCGAACACAAGAUAACAUGCACAGACCCCCUGGGAUAAGAUAAAACAAGUAAUGAUUGAAAUCCCCUUUUUUCCCACCAGAAAACACUAGCUUAUCCAAGUUUGAUGGAUACUCUCCUUUUAGUAGACUACACGAACUGAAUAUAAUCUUUCCAUACUCAUUAGUAGACUACACCAAGGUUGCAAUAUAUUUUUAAUCAUACUGAUUAAUCAAUAAAAAAAUGGUGCACUUGAUGAUCCAACUAGUCUUUACAGCGAAGACUAACAGAUUAACAGCUUGCAUGCACUUCAGACACCAGAAAAUUAAAAUAAAGGCCCGGCAGUCUGCAAUGACAGUGUCACCGGGUUCCAACAAUGCCCGUUCAUAGUUGUGGCCAUCCAAACUUUGUACUUAAUAAAAAUUUAGUAAUCGCCGUUGUGCCAACAAAGCCUCCGUAGCAUAGUGGUAGUGCGUUCCCUUCGUAAGGGAAAGGUCGUGAGUUCGAUCCUCACCGGGGGCUUCAUUUUUUUUUACUUUUGCACUUUUUUUUUACCAGUGUUUAGCGCCUUUUCAUUCUCUAUUUUUGCAACUUCUAAAACAAAUCUUUGGUGUCGCAAAUUCUAUUCGGAUGCUGCUGGCCCAGUUAGGGAUAAUAUCCAUGUCAAAAACUCAAAAUUGACCUGUGAGGAGACACCCGAAUUUUUUUUCAACCAAGGAAACAGUUAAAUGAAAUGAUGAAAGUCUGAGUAUUUUUUUUUCUCGAGAAAACGCAAAACUUGCAUCUCGAUGCAUUGAUAGAAAGAAUGUAUUUGCAAGCCCAAGAACAGGCCGACACAACCGAGCACUUAAAACAAAAACACGACCAACGACCGCUAGACUAACAUUACAACCAACGCCACCAAACAACCUCAGGCCUAAAUGCCAAAUACACAAAAGUACAGGAUAACGAAGAAGGCGCCGCGGCCCGCUGGCCUCGCAGAACUCGAAGACAAGCCCGCGAGCCGUCUCGUCAACUGCAGAAGCCUCGGGCCGCCGAUCACCGCGCUCGUUACGAACAAUGCGUCACCAUAUCCCACCGCUCCACUGUUGGUCACAACAAACGCCCAACUUCGUCGGUCGAUACCCGUCGAGUGCACCCAUGCGACCAAGAUGCAGCAGCACGGGAUCCUUCGCUAACCACUAUCCUUGUCAUCCAAGGUGGCGCACUUGCACGAUGCCGGUGUGUCCAAAAUCUGCUCGCUAAAGCUAAGGCGUGUGCCACCGGAACACACUCCAGCCAAGGGUUAUCCUCCAAGAACAACGCCUCCAACAAGAGAGCGACGUCACCAACGUCGCCGUCAUCCGAUCAGGCAAGCCAAAUCUGGGUUUUCACCCGAAGGAUUGGACCACAGGGCAUGGAGGUUAGCUAGGGCUCCUCGACGACGCCACCAAGGAGGGAACGACGCCCGAGAGCGUCAUCGUCGUCGUCGGCACCGACAGAGGUCAGGCAAGGCUUUCACCCGGAGCACCACGAGCAAACUAGAUGCAACCAAGGCAAUGCAAAGGAACAACGGCAAAGUCUAAGCAACGCCUACAACCGCACUAGUGCAAGAACCUGGAUGGCCCACCGUCCCGCCUUCAGAGGCCACCACACGCCGUGCAAUUUGGCGCAUGCACCGUCCACAAUACCAACCCUGAAAGGCGUUGGCACAUGGCCCAAACGGCCUGUGCACAGACUAACCCAGGCCCGCAACGAAUCUGAAGUUAGCAGGCAGUGCACACAGCACACCCCGAGCUAGAGCCCGACGAAGCGCCCGCUGCAAGCGUGCAACUUGGCACACGCACCGUCCACAAUACCAACCCCGAGAGGCGUUGGCACAUGGCCCAAACGGCCUGUGCACAGACUAACCCAGGCCCGCAACGAAUCUGAAGUUAGCAGGCAGUGCACACAACACACCCCGAGCUAGAGCCCGGCGAAGCGCCCGCUGCAAGCCCCGAGGUAUUGCCGGAUGGGCGCAAAGGCGCACGUCACACAACCUGCGACGCGACACCAGCGACCACAUCAGGCCACACACCAAUGCCUGCCUCCCUCUGGGCACCGGCCAACACGCACCAAGCACGGCUCAUGAGCCAUCUCCCGAACCACCCGCAACCUCCAACCACACCCUCACAGGCACGGACUGCCGGCAGUGAGUAACAUCGCAGCAGCGCCCUGCCACACGCCGAGCGCACUAUCCAACGCCUUUCGGCCACAACACGACCUGCCGCUGCCUGCACAAGCAACCACCACCAGAGCAGCGCGAGGCGCAGCAAGCCAACCACACGACGCUGCCGCACGCGAGCCACCGCACGCUUGCGUCGCCGCGGAUUAGGCCACCAUCACCGGAAUCGUGCUGCCGCGGAUCUGCGAGCCACCGCGUGCUUGCGCCGCCGUGUGCGAGACCACGCACCUGCGCAGCAAUGGGUCGAUCCACCGUCGCUGGAAUCGCGCUGCCUGGGUGGUGCCUCUGCAGCCGGAAUCGCGCCACCGCGCGAGCUCGAGGGAGAGCGAGGGAAGAGGAUGGGCAGAGAGGAGGAGAUGGCAGGGCGGCUGGAAGGCCCUGCCGCCGCCGCGGGCCGGCCAGCGGCCGCCGGCGGCAGCGGCAGGGGGAGAAAGAGCGGUGGAGAGAGGGAGGUUGGGGUCGCCCCGUGAGUCGCAGGAGCGGCUCGCGGGGCGCUAGGGUUUUUGUUCUUCCCGCCUGUAUAUCGAAAGUCUGAGUAUUAUCCAUUCCAGAUUUCAUAAGCACUCCAUUUCUAAUCAGGCAAGUAAAAUACAAGGGUUGGUCACGUGAUCAUGGACCCAUGACACACAAUUAUAGAAAAUGUCCAAACUGAAAAUUGACUAACAAAUCCUUGUCACUCCCUGUCUGCUACUCCCAGCUUCCCUGUAUUUAAACCAGCCAUCAGCUAAGAGAGAUUUGAAAGUAAACUAAAAGAAAGAAAGAGAGUGAGUGAGUGUUGUCACAAACAUGUCUGACUCUGUCAUGGCGUCUCUGGCUCUGAAACCAUCUUCGUCUCCAUUGCUGGAACGAUCGAAGCUCCAAGCGCGCGACCAUCGGUGAGGCCGCCGUUGUUCAUAGUGGCCAAGAAGGCGAAGAAGGUCCAGACUUCCCAACCCUACGGUCGGUGCAUGCUAUAAAAUUCAGAGUUGGAAACUGUAAAAAUUAGGCUUGGAAGAACUUGACUUGAACGUCAAUUUACCUUGUCAUAAAUUUUGGUACUCCCUCCGUCCAACAAAGUAUGUCUCAACUUUGACAAAAUUUGAAUGCAUCUACACACUAAGGCAUGUAUAGGUACAUCCAAAUUUUGACAAACUUAAGACAUCUUUUGUUGAACGGAGAGACUAUGUCAACUUGUAGGGCCUUCUGGAGAGGUGGUGUUCAAGGAAGGCGUUGAUGCAUCUGGGAGGGUAGCCAAGGUCAGUGAUAAGCUCAAACAUGCACACUGGACAAAAGUAUUGUUGCUGUUCAUUGCUUAACGACAUUCCAAUUUAAUCAGGGGAAGGGUGUUUACCAGUUCUCCAACAAGUAUGGAGCAAAUGUUGAUGGGUACAGGUAAGAAAACUCGCAAAUCCAACAAAGAACAAUUACCUACAGUUUUUCUCAUAAGGACAAAGAAGAUGUUGGUAAAAGAAAAUGGAUAAAGAAGAAAGCCUGCCAAUAAUAUUGUCUGUAAGAAUAAAUAGCUACCGCCUGCAGAACUCACAGAUCAUGCAUGGGUUUCAACUAUUGUUACAUUUUAUCAGUUCUUACUGUAUUGCAGCCCAAUAUAUACCCCAGAAGAAUGGUCUCCAAGUGGUGAUGUUUAUGUUGGAGGUAAGUGUAAGCUUGCACCUCGAAACAAAAAUAUUUACAUUGAACGAUGUUACUUUGAUUGUGCCAGACACUUUUUAUUAUUUUAAUUUUUAUCAUAAACAAUUAUAUUUAACUUCCUUUCUUGAUUUAUGCAGGAAAGACAGGGCUAUUUCUCUGGGCAGUUACUCUGACUGGAAUUCUGCUGGGUGGUGCUCUUCUUGUCUACAGUACUAGUGCCUUGGCUUCUUGAAGCCUAGAUAUGUGCUUUAGCAAAGCAAGUUAUGUACCAAAAAAUGUGUAUAUGAUAUAGGUUAGAACUUAACAACAUAUGUAAGGACGUAAAUAUCGGUACUGGCAGUAAAUAAAACCGAUAAAUAAGUCAUGUUCUAAGUAUCAUGGUGCAGCCAUUAUUUAGUUACCAAUGGCAUGCUCUGAUAAAUGUUGUGAUGUCAACAAACAUGGCACUUGAUUGAUUGCCAUAAGAGUUAAACAAUUUAUUCUGCAAGUAAAGAUGAAAAAGGAAAGAAGAUCUGACAAAAUAUCCCCAUAAAUUGCAUAUAAGUGCCAUGCAUUACAAAACAAUCAACAGACCAAAUAUCAUAAAGGCAUCGUGUAUGUCACCAAAAACAAACGGCCUCCACCCCACAGUAGAAAUAAAAAUAAAAAUUAGCGACUUAAUAAAAUAUUUAUAACCUUUUUAACUAAAUAAUUGUGGCGUUUAUAAUCCUAACAAAAAUAGCAUCUAUUAUUUUAAUUUACAAAUGCUGUCCAGGAUGGCAGCUGUAAUAAGUGUUGGCUGUCCAUGUAACCUGCAGGACUACUCAUGCAAGACUGAAAAAAUUAAACUUCGUUGUGAUAAAACAGUCUUCCCACCUGUCAGCAUGGCCUCCUGAAUGGAAGGUUAUAGCCCAGCAGAGUUUUAUUACUAAGAAGAUGUUGCGAAAUCAUAGGUGAUGUGUAACAUUGGCAAGUGUUUUAGAUGAAAUAUUGACGUGGAUACUUUGGGUAAUAUGGAUACUUAUGUGAUGAGAUGUAUCUUGUUUGGACUUAGUGCUUCGCUAGUGGUGUAUUGAUCCAUUAAUUUUUUAUGUGAAAACAUGGCGUGAGUUGUGUGAAACUUACCCUGAGUCAAGUCGUGGACUUGUGCUCGUACUGGUUAUUUGUGUGUUCGCUUUCAGGUGUUGCCGGAGCUAGAUGAACGUGGUCGAUGACGGGAUCGAGGGACGAAACUUGGAAGAAGCUGAGGUCGAGGAUCAAGGUCAUGCGGGACGUUCGUGCGAAGGAACAAUGGAAGUUCGUGCGAAGGAACAAUGUAAGUGAAAGCUACGGUGAUCCGGAAGGACACCGGUUUGUCGUAUGUUGUUUAUACCAAAUAUGUACGGUAUUGGAGAUAUUUGAUACGUGAUGGUCGAGUUUUGAAGACAUCACAAGAAGAGUUGAUGGCAUGGGAUGGCAUCGACGUGAAAAUAUGUAGGUCCAGCCAUGGCUGGAUGAGAGCUGUUUAAAGAUUAAACAGUAGCGUCCUGAAGAUGGCGUUCAAUGGAAAAACGGUCCACAUGAAAGUUGUGCGCGUCGUCGAGACGAACAACCUUGCUUUUGGAGUCAUCUCAAUCCGAGGUCGUAUGCGGGCCUCACGGGCAAAAUACCAACCGGGACAGAGGAGUUCGUGUUGGAUUCGGACUCGGUUUAGGGUCACGAAUUUUCCCUUAUAAAUAGAGGGCGUCAUAGCUAGGGUUUUAGCAAAGACGUGAGGGAACUCAGAGCUUUGGAUUUAGAUCAAUUCUUGGAGAUUUCUUGGAUGCAUGGUUGCAUCUUUUGUAAUCGAUCGACAUGGUUGCAAUAAAGAAAUUCGUUAGCGGUGUCAUUUCUAUUCUUCUCGGAUCUUCAUGGAUUCUUCGUGCUAGAUAUUUCUAACACUUUGCUGCAGGUUUAUCAUGAGUUCAUAAUACUUUUUUGCAGGUUUACCACAAGAUCAAGGAAGAUCGCGAUUACUUCAUCUUUCUUGUUAUUCUUCGAAAUCUAUUGCAUGCUCUUUUAGAUAUUAGGAAAAAUAUUUGGAUUAAUGGUUGAACUAAAGAUAGGUUAUCCGAAACUUGGACAAAAGGACAAACUAAAUUUCUCUCUCAGGGAACAUGGGAGUAGAAUUCUCAGGAUUAUCCAAUCACCACCUAGAUGUUUCCUUCAAAUUCUAUCAUCUUCAAGAGUUCAAGGUCAUGUGAAGGACAGCGAAAGAUCACACAGUUGUGGUCCAUGAACCUAUUGGCACCACACAGCAACUGACACUUGUCAAGCAAAGCUCAAUCACUUGCUUCUAAAUUCAACCUGCAUCCUUGUAUUUAAAGCAAGUAUUGCACAUGAUUUAGCAAAGAAAAUAAAGACUGACAGCAAAAGGAAGAGCGAGAGCGAGCUUACUGUCAUACGCAUGGCGGCCUCAGUCAUGGCUUCUACGGCUUUGAAACCAUCUCCAUCUCCAUUUAUCGGGCAGCCGCGGCUCCGAGCCAUCCAGCCUUCAGCAAGAUCACCAUCUUUCAGAGUAAUGUCCAAAAAGGCAAAGAAGGUCCAGACUUCUCAGCCUUUCGGUCAGUACACGAUAUAAAUAUACCUUUUGUCAUACUUUUUUUUUUGCGAAGAUACCUUUUGUCAUACUGAACCCCUUUAAGAAAAAAGAAACUAUUACUGCUCUAUUUGAUGGCAGCAUCUCACUAUCUGUGCUUGAGUUUAUCUUAUAGCAAGUUACGAAAUUGUGCCCUGUUAACAUCUAGGGCCUGGGGGAGGAUUGGAAUUGAAAGACGGUGUUGAUGCAUCGGGAAGGCCAGCCAAGGUUAGUUUUGAGGCUGAAAAAAGUAAAUUGUUUUUUUUCAGAAAAGUACAUUGUUUUAUCACUUAAUGUUGACCCAUUUUAAUCAGGGGAAAGGUGUCUACCAAUUUGCCAGCAAGUACGGAGCAAAUGUUGAUGGGUACAGGUAAAACAAUCGCCGUAAUUCAGCAACCAACAUCACCUAUUUUCUUUCUUAAGGGCAAAGUAAAAACCAAAUACAAACCUGUAUUCAAGGAAAAACUAAAUACAAACGUGCUACUAGUGUUAGUAAUAGAAGGCAUACCCCUACAGUUCUACCAGUAAGAAAAAAGUGAAAAGAAUAGCAUCCAUAACUCAUCUACUGCCUUAAAUAUAUGAUAUUUGUGAUAUCUUUAUUGCAGCCCAAUAUAUAACCCAGAAGAAUGGUCUCCAAGUGGUGACUUCUAUGCUGGAGGUAAGCAGUCUGCACAGACAACCAUCCCAAAAAUACAAUCUUUACUAUAGAUUUUUUUUUUGCCAGAGCACAUAUAACCUCCAUCCCUUGAUGUAUGCAGGAAAGACGGGGUUGUUGCUCUGGGCAGUCACUUUGGCUGGAAUUCUGCUGGGUGGUGCACUUCUUAUCUACAAUACUAGUUCUUUGGCUUCUUAAAUCCUAGGAGCAACAAACCUAAGCAUGUAGCAUACAAGGAUUACACAAUCUAAAAUAGAUAUUCGCUCACCUAUGUUCCUAGACUAAUUACCAUAUGUGAAUAAAAAUCCAUAAGUAAUUAAUGUUCUUAUUUGUUGUGCAAUGUGAUUGUGAUAACGUAACAGAAACUCAAAAAGAGCAGAAUACUAUGGGUCCAGAUAACAAGGCAGUGAACAGGGAGCCAAAUAUGCAGGAAUUCCUAUGAGAUCGAGCACGGAGCACGGUUGAUGAAAGAAUUGUAUUAUUCAUUUUCUCUUAGCAUUCGAUUCCAGAGUGUUACAAAGAAUCAAUCAAAUUGAUGUCACAGGGGAUUCUGUGCACAUAAUUAAAAGCAACAACAACAAAUAUUUUCCUCCUAUUGCACCAAAAAAAAAGACAUGCUGUGGGGACAUCCACAUAUGGUGUUACAAUACCACAGUACAUGCAUCUAAGCAUGUUGUUAAUCAGAAACUCACCCUAUUCGGUUGCUUGAAACACCUAGUUCGACCACCCCUUCCGUAUCAUGGCACCUCAAUUUUGACAUCAACAACUUCAUCAUUUGCAUCACGAGCUGCACGAGUGGACUCCUCAGCUUCUCUGAUGUGCGUCACAGUAAUAGAUGCAUCAGAGGGCGUCAGUUCAGGCCCUGAAAGAACCUCAUCACAAUCUGCAUGCAGAUGACCUUGGUGCAACUGCAAAGCACUCUCUAGGUGCCACAGGACUUCGCCCAUCGAAGGCCGGUUCACUCCCUCAUCUGCAAGGCAUUUUUCUGCUAUCUUGCUGAAUGUCUUCAUGGACUCUAAUGUGUAAUUUCCAUCUAAACGAGGAUCGAUUAUGGUCUCAAGUAACUGCUGCCUUUGGCAGUUGAGAGCCCACUCAGCAAGAUUUAUCUGAUCUCUUGGCAAUGUCGGAUUAAUGACCGGUCGAGCACAUAGCACUUCAAGCAGCACAACACCAAAAGAGUACACAUCUGAACUUGGAGUUAACUGCUGCCUCCUAUAGUACUCCGGGUCAAGGUAACCAAAACUCCCUUUCACAGCAGUACUAACAUGAGUAUGAUCUAAAGCUGGACCAUCUUUUGAGAUGCCAAAAUCUGCCAUCUUUGCGACCAGGUUGCCAUUUAACAAAAUGUUGGUAGUCUUGACAUCCCUGUGAAUUAUACCCCUGUCGAGUCCAGUGUGAAGAUAGUGAAGCCCUCGUGCUGCGCCGAUACAUAUCUCAAGCCUUUGAUUCCAUGUAAGAGCAGGAAGGUCACUUCCAUAGAGAUGGCUCCUCAAGGUGCCGUUUGCCAUGUGCUCGUAAACUAAGAUCAUCUCGUUUCGCUCGUCACAAUAGCCAAUUAAGGGUACGAGGUGCCGGUGUCGCAGUCUCGAGAGCAUCUCGAUCUCAGUUUCAAAUUCCUUCACACCCUGACCCUGUUGAGACUCCGUGUGCCCCCUCUUAAUUGCCACCAGAGUGCCACUCUCCAUUUUACCCUUGUAGACCUUCCCAAAACCUCCAACUCCAAUAACCAAGGACUCAUCGAAGUUCUGGGUGGCUGUUCUGAUUUCUGCAAUGGUGAACCGCCUGCCCAGCUGGCUGCUCCCUAAUGUUCCAGCUGUGCGAAGAGAUGGGGAACGAGUGUUCGCAGAACCGUGGAGCGCAAGUGGCUGACAACCCGGUGGGUUCUUGGUUUUGUUAGCUGAACUUCUCUUCUUCCGUUGCAGACAGAAACAGAUAUAAACAGCACCAACAAUUGCGAUAAAAACUAUCAGACCAGUAGCAGCACCAAUUAGCACCCACUUGGGGCUCCUCUUUGGUUUCCUUGUGCCACCACUGAUACCUCCAAUCCUCACAGUUGGAUGAGCAAGAUUUCCUUCCCGGCUGACCUUAAAUAUCUCCAUGCCAUUCAGAAGAGCAUCAGUAGCCGCAGCACCAGCUGAAGACUCGGAACCCAGCUGAACCCAAAGAGUGUCCAUCUGUGGCGAGGCAACAUCAAGGAAGUCCUCAUGAAAGGCCUUGUUCUUUCCCCCAGCUCUUGCAAACACAUCAUAGCUCUCCGCAGCGGUCUUGUUGUUUAUGUAAAUCUUGAACUUCCGUUGCUCAGCCUUGUCAUACUCCAGCUCGCAGAAAUGCAGCCGGACCAAGUAGUCGAAGCCAGGGUCAAUAAUAAAGCUCCAAGACACAUUGAAUUUCUUCUCCACGACAGAACUCUCCGUCGUCACCUUUGCGGUUUCAUACAGCCUCAAAGGUGCCAAUGUGGAAUCAUCAGCCGACGCAUAACUUAUGUUGGAAGAAUUGGUGAUGGUAUGUGCUGCAUUCAGAGAGAAAAUGAAAUGCUCAUCUGAAUCCCACUUCCUCCACAAGCCCGGAUCCUCUUUCCUCGCUAUAUCGCUGCAUCCUACACAUAACCUAUACAUCGUCUCAAUCCCACCGUCAGCGAGGCUGAAAGGGCCCUUCAACCCAUAACCACCAACCUUGUUUACGGAAUCAAAAAUUGAGCUGCCAGACACCGGCACAACCUCCAUGGCAUUAACGAAGGCGAAGGACCCUUCAUCAGGCCUGAACUCAAUCCCCAAUUUACCAGAAGUAAAAUUGAGAAGGUACUCCUUCACAAUGACCUUGCUAGUUGAGUUUAUCUGAGAAUCCCUCCAAGAAAUCUCUCCAGUGACACUGAACCUGGAGAGCAGCUUCAGGCCAUUCGCCGCGACAUCGAAGAUUGGCUCCUCGGCGCUGAGAUUGGCGAACAGCUGGCUGAAAUGGAGACGGAGGAAGUAGCUCCCGGCGGCGACGCCGAGAUUGUAGCUCGAGGAUGAGUUGAAGACACGGGCAGUCUUGUACAGAUCCCCAUACGGCUCCUCUUCUCCAUCCACUCCUGGAGCCGCCGCCGCCAAGGCGAUGGUUCCCGGGAAGCUGAGCGUGAAGUUCUUAGAAGGGGAAGAAUCCCCAAUCCAUCGCCUGCCAUCGACGACGGCCGAGCUGGAAUCCGAGCCGCAGUUAAUCAGGAUAGGCCCAGGCUGCGCUCGCGCAUUCUCCGCGGCCAAGAACACCACCAGGAUCAGCAGCAAAUUCGUGGAAGAUUUCAUCUCUCCCCUGGAUUAUACUCGCCUACUCGGUGGCCUCCGCCGCCGCCGCAAUUUCAGGCGGAUAAACCUUAUUCAGAAAACCAGCUUUUUUCGGCCGAUUAAUCGCAACCUGCAAGCGCCAAGCAAACCGCAUUGAUUAGCAAUCACCGUCUUGGCGGAACAACCAAUGAUUAAGCGUAGGAGAGCAGGGCCAAGAACACGGACGAACCGGGGAGGAAGAAAUGCCGCUUCUUUUUUCAAAAUCGAAGAGAGAAAAAGAAAAAAGAAAGAAAGAGACUUUUGAUUCUUGGUUGGUUCCAAUAAUCACCUGAGGAGUUCUUGGUUCCUGCUCGAUUAGAAGGCUCUCUCCUCCGUUCGUCCUCCUCCAGAGGACCAAGACUCAAGAGCACCGGCAGAAGAAGCAAGCAGAAGCCUCCAAAUCCCCAAAGAGCAGGAGCAUGGCACAAAUGGCUAGCUUCAGAGAGAGGUCUACUAAGCUAAACAAUUGCUGAUGAUAGUAGUAGUAUAAUGGUUCGGCAAUCAGGUGCAGGCCUGCAACCGAUUGAUUGAUUAAUCUUUGGUGAGGAUUGAGGAGGAGACAGGGACAAUGAGAGAUAUCUGCUCUCAGGGGGUGAUGGGAUUGCGAUUCUCGUGUGGAUUUGGCUCGCACAUGAGGUGUUUGGGUAGGGGGCUGUGCUUGUGACUGAGGCUGUCGCUGGGUUUGAAACUGAGCUGACCAAAAGUUGCUGUUAGCUGGAUGUGGCUUCAGGCUAGCUGGGUUGCAUCUAUACCACUGGGAUUCUGCGGUGCUUUUUCGCUAGAUGCUCCGUUGGAACUCUUUGGUUGUAGUGCUGUACUUUGCUCAAAGCCACUUUUUCGUUGAAGCAUCCGGCAAACUGCACAACACACUCACGCCAUUGCUGGCGCACGGCCGCGGCACACAGUAAUUUUUACUCAUAUGGAUGUUAACCGUGUGGUCGGCUACGGAUAACCUGGAGGUCUUCAAUACUACCAUGACAAACGGUGGGAGUUCUUAUCCAAUUAUACAGUGCUUGCUGCUAUCUAUGAAAAUUGUGCUGAUCAUAUGACUCCGGGGUACAGUUCACAAGUAUCCGGUUUCAACACUGCAACCGUACGUGAGGCUAAUCCGUAACCCGUACGUGAGGCUAAUUCGGUUACGGAUGAGCUUAGCUAAAUCUCAAAAUCCUCCAUCUGUGAACCUCCAACUAGCAUUGUGUAUCUUCUACUCCAUGAUGUAACCCUAUUCAAUUCGAGAAGUAAUAAAAAGGUCUUGCUGUUUCAAAAAGGAAAAAGUUGAUCCAAAUUUCAGCCGCACAGGCCCUGUAUCACAUUGAUCUGGCCUCUUCUCUCGUAUGAUCCAAUUAAUCAAAGGACGAUGUUGAUUUGUGCAUUUGGAUCAAGAUAGCUCUCGUUUCUAGUGUCUGACCAUUCAUAUUGAAUUAAUAAUAAAUAUACGUGAAUAGUUAUUGGUCGAAUGCGGUACCAAGAGAAAAAAAAAGACAUUAUGAAAUAAAUAAAUAAAAUAUAUACAAAUUGUGCCGUGGACGGAGGAGUAGGAUAGAAUACAACCAUCGAUGCAUUGGCCGGGACGAGACUGAUAUACACUGGGAUUCGAUGGAUCGGCAUGCAGUACAGUGUAAGGUUGUCUGAUUAGGCCAAGGAGUAGAGUAUUCUAUGCACGCAUCACAUUCACAUCAGAUAUUCGGACGGGCCCAAAUUAAUUACUCCAAUAAUAAUACAGCCCAAUUGGUUGGGGGCAGGCACAUGGCCGUCUGGAUCAUGUUUGUAUUUUUAUUUUUAUUCAAACGCCGGCACCGAACGGACGCUCGUCGGCUAGCUAGCUACCUUUGCUUCAGGGCUUCUCGAGCUUGAGCUCAAGGGAGAUGCAUCCAGUAUCAAGCCUGAAUCCAGUAGCGGGAACUACAGUACACUGCUCGAGAUGCAUGCAUACACAGGUGAUCCGGCCCUCGACAUCUGUCAGUGCUAGCUCUGUGCCUGCAUCUCGAGAGCUGUUCAGGGGGAUUGAUUUUAAAAAAUGUGGAUCGAAGAUCGAUCAUCUUUAUAUGCAUACGCAAUGCUAAGAGAGAUGCCCCAAAUUUUGCCUUCAAAUGUUUUUUUUUAUCACUUGGGGAAGCAAGUGGACAUUUAUCCGUUCUAUGUCCGUCCUCGUCACCCAACCACACCCCGCAAAUUCCUCUCCCAAAUUAGGACAUUUUUGGAUCACAGGAAAUGUAAACACAUGAAUAGAAAAAAUAUAGAAAUAGGAUGCCAUGGCAUAUUGAAUCCUAUGGAAAUCAAAUUAGUACCAGUUGUUUGGUUGCACCGCAGGAAAAAUGCGCGAAUCUUGUGUACACAUUGGUGUAAGCCAUACUUGUCAUAGGCACGUAGGAAUCUUUCCAAGAGGUCCACCUCUUGUUAGAAUUCUUAUAGGAAUAGGACUUAAGAAACCAAUCCAUAAGAUUUUGGGAAGAUGAAUUCAUUUGAAUCAAAGAGUCUUUAUAGAAAAAAUUCCUAUGGAUUAGAAUCCUACCAAAAUACCAUGAAAAUCCUUCAAUCCAAUCCAAAUAGGACCUUAGUUUUUUCUUUUCUUUAUCCUUUCUCUUCUUCUUUUUACUUUUUUUUAUCUUUUUCCCAUCUCUUGUUGUGGAGCCGAGGCGGACAAAAGAGAGCACCGGACAUCCCAACCUCCCCCAAAUUUGAGGCAAAUUUAGGGAAUGUGUCCGGACAAACAUGAUAUUUGUCCGUUUAGGGGUGCCAUUGGGGUGAUUUUGGAGGCAAAAAUAUCCAUAUCCUCAAAUAGGACAUUUGGGAUAGUUUUGGGAUGCCAUUAGACACGCUCUAACGCGUUUAGAGUAAUGUAAGCACGGAGGGAAUCGAGGCGCGAGUCCCGGCUAGUUUUCUGCUUAAUUUUGUCUUCUUGGUCGAUGGCUCCAUCCGUGUGUAUACUUCAUGUUUCAGUUACUGUAGACAACAAGUACAGGCCCGGUGUACGGCCUGUCCUGCAGAGAGGGGGAGCAGAAGAGAUGCUGUUUCGACUACGUGCAGAUCUAACUGGACGGGUCCAGUUACUUGUUUAUUUCCUCUUGUUAUAUGUCAGUCAGUGGCGGAUCACGGGAGCUUGGGCAAAAUGCAUGCCGUCUGUUCUAAGCUAAAAUUGUCCAUACAAAUUUGCUAACUUAAUCAUUAUACUUACAGUACUUUAUUUUGAAAUGAGUUCAAAUUGGGAUACUGAGCGAGUGCCCCGGGUCGCCGGGCGGUAGCUUGCUCCGUCAAGGAGUUCAUCACAAAUAACAAUAUCUAGUCCUGAGAGAUGGAGAAAAGAACAAGCAGCAGGAGGAUAAUUCUUGCGAAUUCCCAGCUCCUUUGGAUAUUUCCUCCUAAACCAUAUAUACUUCGUAUUCUCCAUUUUCGUUCCGUAGAAAUUAGAAAGAAGAAAUUAAGGAGAGACGAGGCAAAACUUUUUUUUUUGAGCGAAAGGCAAAACUUGGUGAUAUAUAUGAUCAGGAUCGGGGAAUUUAGGGGCACCAACACAUCCAGAUACAGGCAGAUAUAGGUUUGGGCUUUCACGUUUGAAUUCACGGGCCCAUACUAGACGCGAUACGACAGACGGCCCAUACUGGCUUCUCGAACCAUUCGUCCAAAAUAAAUAAAAAUCAAAUUGCGCGGCAAAUACACCACCACGCAAAAGCACAACAUCUGGAUCACUGCUGCAAUGCCGAGAUCUAAGUGCAAACAUUUCACGCAUUGAUGACCAGGCAAAAAUACACCAGGAAGUUUCUACCGUCAAAAUUGAUCUGUACGUAAAAGCUCCCAAGUACAGGCUAAUUGAAGGAGCUCCGACGAGAUCAAAAGGAGCAGACAAAUUCUUACAGCCCAACAAUGGACCGUUGUCGUAUCUAGAGUAAGAAUUAGAGACCCCCCCCGGUAACCCUCCUCUGGCGACCCAGGGGAAACCCUAGCGCCGCCAACCCUUGACCCCUCCCCCGCAUCGCCGCCACCGGAGGGGUGCCGGCGAAGCCUGCGCACCUCCAGGGAAGGUGGCAGCGGGGCGGAUCUCCUCUUCUCGCGGCUCUUCUCGGGUCCAUGGCGAGCAGGGAGUUUGCCGCCACGCGUGGCGGCGGCGGCGUUGUGGCCGUGGUGGGCGCCGUCGGUGCGAGGCAGUGCUGCGCCGAUCUGGGCUUUGCUUGCGGGGAGGCCGGCCCUUUGGAGGCGCGUGGCUGCUUGCGGGGAGUCGCACGAAGCUCCUUCAAUCUGUGGGGCUGCGGCCGGCGGCACGUGGCGGCCGCCAAUCUGCAAGGGCGGCGCGGGGUGGCCGUCGGUGUGGCUCGAUCUGGAGGUGGAAGCACCGGAUCCGGGGCGGGUGGUACCGGAUCCGGUUGGCCUCGCAGCCGAUCUGCGGUGGGAUGCGUGGAGGUGGCCUCGAUCCGUGGAGGCCGCCGUCCGUGAUGUGGCGGGCCCAUUCUGGGCCUGGCGGGCCAUGGCCGUGCUGUCCUGUUCCACUAAUUGUGUGGCUAGGAUGGUGGGGCCUGAUCCGGUGCGUGGGGCGGUUGCGGCGCCCUGGCCGGUGCCCGGUGGUGGUUUGGCGCGUGGCAUUCGGCGAGCUUCGCCGGCGCUCGUUGUGGUGAGGAGGCCUCUGGUCAGACUCGGCUAUUCGGUCCUGUCCGCGGUGGGUUUGGUGGCUGCGGGUGAAAACCCUGCAUCGACUUGGUCGGUGCCGACGAUGACGGAGUCCUCAGACGUCGCUUCCUUCUUGAAGGCGUCGUUGAGCAGCUCUGCCACUUCCCACCCUUCGCAAACGAGGUGACUCCGAGCGAAAGCUCUGAUCCGGUUUCCGGGUCAGGUAACGGCGACGUCCUCGGACGUCGCGUCCUUCUUGGAGGCGUUGCCUUUGGAGACCUCGUUUGGCGGCGGAGUUUGCUUGCUGUGGUCCUGGCCAGGGAGGACAACUUCGUGCUACACGGGCUUGCCGUUCCCGUCGGGGCAACCUCUUCAGUCUCCGGUCGUCGAAGAAGCCCCGCUCUGCCUACCUUCUUCUGGCGCAAGGACCGUUCCCUGUUUGAUGUCAUUGGAGCGGAGGAGGUCUUCGUCUUUGCAGUGGCGGCUUGUUUUUUCAGUUCCUGUGUAUGCUCUUUGUCAGGGUUUUCCGCAGGGCUUUCCUUGAAUAAGUCGUGCAUUUGUAUCGGUUUUUAGGCCCGGCUUUCCUCAUUAACAGGGCCAACUCUAUUCUUCUAAUCGAAUUGCGGGGAUCGACCGUUGCGUCCUCAAAAAAAAAUGGACCGUCGGGUUGUUGGAUUCAGCUUUUUUUUACACGCUUUUUAUUUUCAAUUUUGACUUUUAAAGUUUUUUAUUUUUUAUUUUGAGCUUUUAAUUUUUGAAGUUUUAGUUUUAGCUUUCUAUUUUAGCAUUUAAUUUUUAAUAAAUUCGCAGUAAAAAUUAAAGGGGGGGGGAAUCCACCGCCCGUCGUCGAUGAUGGAGACGCCAGGACGAGCCACGAUAUAUAGCGGUGCACGGCGGUUGGGCUGCUGGAUCCGUUUGUAGGAGGACGCGACCACCUGGAUCUGACCUCCUGGGGGGCCUUCCGUCGGAUCUCGGGGCGGCUUUCGGCCUCCUGAUGGUGCGUGUGGUGAGGAGGAGAAGGACGGCGACAACUCAUGGUGGGGAUGGAGGAGGUGGCGCACAGAGGAGGCGGGCAGGCCGAGGAGCGGUGGAACGUGGGGAGAAGGAUCAGCAUGGGAUGGGGGCGAGGUAGAUCUGAUGUACUCGCGGCGGUGCGUGGAGAGAAGAUGGCGACGAUGAUGAGGUGACGGGCCCCCGGGAGAGAGGAGGCACGAGAGCGAGAGACCAGGAAGAGAGGGGAGGGAACGUGGGGGUUAAGAGGUAGUACAUACGCGCAUUUUAGAAACCUCCCUCAAGAUAUUUGUUAGGAAACAACCUUGUAGAACAUGUCCCCAAGAUAACUAUGAAUAGACCAAAAUAGGUAUAUAAUAUAAUUUAUGCAGGUUUCACAAAUUAAUCUAUUAUGCAUGGAUUCUUAAUUUAAUGAACUAAGAGUGGAUAUACAAAAAAAAAGAAAUACUUUUGUUACAAAAUGUAUACAUUAAGUGAAAAUGUAUAUAUGCAAACAAGACAAACCAUAAAAUUAUAUAACAAAACUUUGGAUAUAAAUAUUUAGCAUCAAUAUUAUGUGGUUAAUUUUGUUAAGCAUAAUAGCGAAGUAUACUAAUUAGAAUCAUAUAAUUCAAAAAUUCAUGUUGUCUUCGUCAUUCAUUUUAUUGUUUUGUAUCUUAAUGUAUAUUGUUCUAUUUAUAAACUUUGUUAAGUAAUGACAAUCUACAUCAAGGUCAAUCAGAGGACAGUAAUGCAAUCAUUUCUACCGUUUUCUCUAAUAACGUAGAAUUGCAUCCCUUCUAUGAUAAGUUUUACAAAAAACUGGGCUAGCUUGCACGGACUCGACGGGGAUGGAUACAUCGGGUGCUGCGAUCCUUGACAAAUGAUGAAAAUGUGAAACACCGCUGUUUGGAUUAAGUUGCAACUGAAAAUAAGAACACAAAAAUUACACUUGUGUUGAAGAGUAAGCAUAAAAAUUACACUUCGGGUGUGUUCGAAAACUCUCUGCUCCUCCAAAACUCCAGAUAUCCAGCUUCCCAUCGCUACUCCAGCGUCUUGCAUGAAGCAGGGAACGUUCGGCAGCGCUCCGUUUUUUUCACUGGGCCGGAAGCCAAUUAGCACCGAGUUAACAGCCCACUGACCGAGUUGCUGGAUGCGUUCGGGAGCUGCCGCAUGCGAAGGCCCGCAGGAGAGAAUUAGGCCAUCUAAUCGAUCUCCUAUGAAUGGGAUGAGCCCAUUAAUCGACCUCUUGUGCGCGAGUUUCCAGAUGGCGCUAGUGGCGAAGCGGAUGACAUAUCCCGACGACCUCCGUGACGUGGUAGACAACCAGGAGGACGAGGAAAGGCGGCACCGGGGCUUCACGGCACCCAUGUGGGAUUGGUUGCCGCCACCGGACUUCUUGUGGAUGGACCCCUCUGCUCUCUAGGCCGAGCUCCUCCGCCAGCACGCCGGCUCUCUCUCGGCUUCGUCGAGCUUCGCCCCGACGUUCAUUGCGGAUGGACCCCUCUGCUCUCUAGGCUGAGCUCCUCCGCCAGCACGCCGGCUCUCUCUUGGCUUCGUCGAGCUUCGCCCCGACGUUCACCGCUUCCGGUUAUAGCGUACCGUCUGUUGAGUUGCUACGGCGGCGACUCCGCUCUGCAUCUUUCUGCAUCGGGCGAGGUGGAAGAGAGAAGGGGAUCGGGAGGAGAGGAACAGGGAAGAUGGGGAUCGGUAAGGGAAACAGAACCAGGCAAAACGACCGUAAUUUCAUCCUGCUCCACGUUUUGCAAUUCCAGGAAUCUCCAAAAGAAAUGCUCCAAGUUUUGUACAGCAAAUUAGACUAGCUUCUCAGAUCUGGCUUCUUGGAGUUAAGGUGUUUGACACUGCUCCACGAUGGAAUUUUGGGAAGCUGGAAGCCAGAGGACUUCCGAACACACCCUUAUUCUGAAACAGGAAACAAAAAAGAUAAAAGAAAAAAUGAGCCACAGAGAACUCGAACCUGGAAUUUGUUACCUCUACAGUCCAUCAACCACUAAGCCAACAACCUGAUGUUGUACAUUUUUUUUUGUGGAAAGUAAAACAUAUAUUACAUUAGAGCACCGAUACAAGGUGACGAACUUCGACAAGCGAAGUUAACAUAUAUAGGAUUUUGCGACAAACAGAUAAGUAGUAGCUCAAGAAGAUGCUCACAACAAGAAUGAGGAUGACCGCGGAAGGAGCCUGAUGGCGGAUCGGGCGAGAACUCCGACGCGCAACCACAACCAUAGUCUUCAGGGACCUCAGACCAAUGCGCUCGCCUAUAGUAUCCUGAUGGCUCUCCCAGAGAUCUGCUAGGCUUGUGCACCUGAGGUUGAAACCAACCGAGCCGUAGAUUUUCAUAAGCCUCACCAAGCUCAGUUGUAAGCUCACCCUUCCAUUAAGUCUGAGGUUCAGCAACGACAACGGUCUCACGCGCCAUCGGUGAAACUCUCGAAUGGAAAGGCUCUAACAUCCUCAUAUGAAGCAUCUUCAAACUCAUUACUGAUCCAAAUGCAACAAAGAUAAAGAUCAUUGUGCUCCACCUCACCUUCAAGCAUUGAGGCCAUGUGAUGAGUAACCAAUCUUGCCUCAUAUGCAACGAGCAAAGUCUCCCAAACCAGCUCACCAGAAUUUGUAGUCACCACCACAGUGACAAGGCCAAAUUGCCGGUGAAAUUGCAUAUAAUUGACCAAAAGAAAGAGAUGGUACUUCUUUCCCAGCUUCAGAAUCUUGUUGUCAGCAGAUGAGGAAUUGAAAUUGCUACUAGCAAUAACCCAAGAAUACUCCAGGAGAAAAAAACACUUGCUAUAACCUAGGGUAUUAAAGUGGGCGACAGGCACUAGACUUGGAUUUGUCGAUUACGGCUGUGUGGGCGACGAAGGCCAAGGAGAAUCCUCAAGCCAUCUCGCCGGCCACUUCAAGACCACCCGACUCUCAGCAUCCGACGGAAUGCCCAUCAACGAUUCCGUUGCUACGGAGAGAACCCAUUCCUUUGGUCCCUUUUUGUGCACAACACGCACCUGAUCUCCUCUGCAGGGAAGCCGAGACUGAAGGAAUCCACCAUAAAACGCUUGGAACGGACAAAGGCAGCAGGUGCAAGGGGUCUUGGAGGACGACUCCCCAGGCCGGGGAAACAGCAUUUCCCGCCAAAGGAUCGCAUCUUGAAGUAACUUCCGGCUCCCAAUCACCAUCGGCCUGGCCACCUCGGUCAGAUCGGGAAGAUGAAGGAGAGGGGAAGAAACCCAAGGAUCUGGUUUAUUGAAGGGGAAAACGAAAAGAAGGAAACUAACUAUACCUAACCACGCACAUACCUCCCUUCCCCCAUCCACUCCGCUGCCGGCUGGAGGGAAGGGGAAGGGAGGCAGGCGACGCUAACGGCACGCGGCCACGCACGGAGCGGUCGAUCUCCACCUACUACUCCUCAUGUUGUACAUGUUCAGUUGUUAACGUACUUAUCUAGUUUGUCCCUCACAAACUUCAGCACAGAUCUCGAAAACUGAUUUGACGGUCCCUACCGUCGACUGAGAAAUAAGAAUUCUCAGGCAACUGAGAACUAGCAAAUCCGUAAAGAAAAUUAUAACGGCGUUUCUUUGAAUCGAUAAGUUGCAGUGACAUUUAUGUAAUUUUUCCUUGCAAAUAUAGGACUGAGCGAGAACUUCUUUGCCAUCGGUGAUAGCAUCUUCUCUUUCCCAAGUAUUUAUCAUCCGGAGAUUAAUUCCGUCGAGAUGUUUCCCCACUUACCUUGGUCUAUUGAUACAGAUUACUCCGGUGUACACAUGUGCUAGCUACCACUUUCGGUUAGAAUAGAAGUGAAUGCAUUUUCCACUUAUGUGCAUCCGAAUUGUGUUAAAAGAUAUUACCUCGUACCGAUGUACUGUCCCUUUUCCCGUUUGUAAGAUCAUUUUUAGAUCAUCAAUUUGAUAAACAAAAUACAGAGUAUGAGUUUUAUGCGACAAAAGUAUGUCUUCAUAUGUUUCUCUGAAAAUAUGAGUAUAACCAUACAAUCUUUGUGCAGUACAUACAAUACAUAAGAUUUUUGAAAUCGACGAUGUGCGAGACUUGUAAAUCGAAAAGAAGGAAGUAUAUCUAUAGUCAUGGAAGUUUAUUUUAUUUUUCCGAGGGAUAUAGCCGCGGGCAAAGACAUUGGGCUAGUUCCAUGAAUGUACUAACAAGUAAACGAUCGAUUUCCAUCCGCAAAAACCGAGUCAAAGAUAUUGCACAGUUGCAAGAUCUCACGAGCCGCGAACGGGUCAGAACGACGGGCUUUAACGGAGCCAUUUGGAUGACGAAGCUGCAUACAUGCAUAGCAUAGAGUCACCUUACAGCUUUUUUGAGAUCGCUACAGGUAACACACUUUUCUGUUUUCACGCAAUUUUUUGUCUGCAUGCAAGUGACAGUGUUAUAUCUAUCCCGUGUGUCAUGAGGCCUCUGUCCGUUUCUGAAUGUCCCGUGCAUGGGUUCCCUGUGACAUUUGGCAGGAGACGAGGCCUUCGACGGGUCAAAUCGUCAAACGAGGGGAAACGAAUAUGAAAAGAGGAGAGAAAGAUGGUGACAAGUGCUAACAACGACCACAGCAGAUUAUUACUGCUUCCGUCCUACAAUAUGGGUCAUAUUAGGGUUCGGUUGAUCAAAUUUUUGAUUAUAAAUUACUUCAUGAAUAUGUAACUAAUGUGAUCAAAAUCAUAUCCAUGAGCAAAUAUCUUUGAAUAGAAAUAUAAUAGAUAUGAAUUUAUGUCAUAUAAUUAUAUAUUAAUAGAGUAAAUUGUGGUCAAAGCAUUGGUCAAAGGAAACCUAAUUCGUUUCUUAUUGUUGAACGGAGUUAGUAAUCAGCAGAUGGAUGCAGUAAAUAAAUACUCCAGCAUUUUGAGGUCUGAUUUUGCAGUUGAUUAAAUGCAAGUUGGGUGAGCUUUUGUUGUCGGACGCCGAUGGCAGCGUGCGGCGUAGUGGUGGGGGGAAGACGAUGGCGUCAGGAGUGUUUCGACUGGCAAGCAAAGGAAGGAACAGGUCGACAUUUGGAGCAGGUGAGGAGUGCAUGGCAUUUGUUUAUCUACCAAGCUAGCAAGAGCAUAUGCGAACUGUGGACCAAGGCUUGGCCGAGAUUAUGUCAUUUCAUUCUAAUCCGCCCGAAUUUGACUAUUCGAGUCAUCGAGCUCAUAAUUUCUGAGCUGAUACGCAAUCACUCUCUGUAAUUAACUGACGGCAUUGUUCGUUCACCGAACUGGCAAUGCCACUCACUCACUGAUUAAUUUGGCAAAAAAAUUUACCACUGCAUGAAUGUAGACACAUUUAUGCACCGGGUUGGGUUUUACUUGUCCGGCGAAUGUCCGGUUUCACCAAAGACAGCGGCAAGGAAUGGAAUCUUCUCUCCCAGCAGCAGCAGCUAGCAGGUAAAAGUAAACAAACAACCAAGAAAAGAACGCAGCUGGCUGGCCGAAUGCAAUACAAACAGCAACAAAAUUCCAGCAGUAAAUAUAUAUAGCAUACCCGGCCGUGGUAAGAUCCGGAGUUUUGUACCAUCACCACCAGCUCUCUCCCCGUGCGUGCGUGCGUGCGUUCGUGCUUACCUGCAGUUAGUGCUGUCAGUAACGAACUGUAAAACUUUGGCAGCAAAAGAGCUGUCAGUAACGAACUGUUAAAAACAUUGGCAGCUAGCAAAUGGAUACAAACAAGCAAGUCGGCCGUCGCGCCAUUGGACCCAGCCGCCCUUGCAAUUUCGCUUCCUGCGUCACCUUCGUCGUCGUCGUCCUCCUCCUCCGGCCCGUCCCUUUCUCCUCGGCGAAACAUGUCGCCAUUAGAUGCGACUUGCUAUAUAUACUGUAGUGCGCGCACUAUACCCAUAUACAUCACAUAUCUAUACAUAUACUCUACUGCUAUAUAUAACAAAAGCUGCAGUCACCAAUCGAGCUAAGCUAGCUGCAAUUGGUAGCUAGGGAGAACAGAGAAAGAAGAAGAUACCUUUAGACUUUGGAGUGUCUGUCUGGGGUAGAGAAUGAUGCAGAGGUACACGGCGAGGGAGAUAUGGGACAUGGAGGAGCGCCAGAGCCCGCGCGCCGUAGGGUGCGGCGGCAGCGUCGUCCUCGGCGUCGACGGCGGCGCCAGCAACACCGUCUGCGUCUGCAUCCCGGCCACCGCCGCCAUGGACAUGUCGCCUUUCGCCGAUGACGGCCCACCGCUCCCCAUCCUCGCCCGCGCCGUCGCCGGAUGCUCCAACCAGAACUCCGUCGGAGGUAACCACCACGCUGCCAUUCUUCAGGAACCAAACGGGCAUCGAUCAUCAAAAGCUAGCUUGAUUAAUUUGCCAAGAAUUAUAUGUAUUCUUCAGAGGACAGGGCGAGGGAGACGCUUGAGCGGGUGAUGGCGCAGGCGCUGCACAAGGCUCGCCGGAGACGGUCCAGCGUGGCCGCCGUCUGCUUGGCCGUCGCCGGGGUCAACCACCCCAUCGACCAGCACAGGAUGCUGGACUGGCUCAGGUCAGUCAAUUCGCCCCCCUCCUCUUCCUGCACUGAAGAUAUCUCUUAUCUUAACUGCAUUCAAAUCCAUAGAUAAUACUACAGGAAACUGAACGGAAUUGAACUGACACUAAGAUUUAACACAUGUGUUUCCUGCAGUGAGAUUUUCCCAAGUCAUGUGAAGCUGUUUGUGGAAAAUGACGCGGUGGCAGCGUUAGCGAGCGGUACCAUGGGCAAGCUCCAUGGGUGCGUGCUCAUUGCCGGGACAGGGACGAUCGCCUACGGUUUCACCAGCGACGGCAGGGAUGCCCGGGCAGCUGGUGCAGGGCCAGUGCUAGGUGACUGGGGCAGGUACAUACAUAUAUACAACCACUCUCAUUUCUAACUAUAUCUUUCAACUCACAUGUUAAAUUCUGCUACAGCAUACUACUCUGCAUUUCUUCUAAAAGCUAGUUCAUGUCAGGAGCAAUUACUGAAUCUGAUUUCUUGCUAUAUGGCAAUAUGUAUAUGCAGUGGAUAUGGGAUUUCUGCACAGGCAUUGACAGCAGUUAUCAGGGCCUAUGACGGCCGAGGUCCUGAAACGGUGCUUACAAACAACAUCCUUGAUUUCCUUGGACUCGAGUCACCUGACGAAUUAAUAGGGUAAAUCCUUUCCGCUCCACUGACUUCUUUGGUUCUACUUCAUGUGAACAUAGGCAAAAGUUUGUUUGACUUACCAUUUAAAGAACAUAUACUCGAAUAGCCAUCAUCUGAAUAUUAUGUGAACUGAACCAUAAUACUAACCAGAAUUGAAGAGCACAUAAUGGAACACCACAAGGAAUGCGCCACUGUAAAAAUCGAAACACUUACUUACAUGUUGAUUCUUCUCACAACAGUUGGACAUAUGAAGACCAAUCCUGGGCGCGCAUUGCUGACAUUCUCCCUGUGGUGGUAGAAUCUGCCGUUGGCGGCGAUGAAGUAGCAAACAAGAUCUUGCACAAUUCAGUUGGUGAACUGGCUUCCAGUGUCAAGGCUGUUGUACAGAGACUUGCGUUGAGUGGCGAAGGUGAACUAGGAACUUCUUUCUGAAUGACAUGCAGAAUAGGCCAUGCACAAAAUACAUAGGGUAUUCUCAUACAUAAGAAUUACAAAUGAGAAAUAAUUUGAUGCCUGCACAAAAAGUAGAACUUCUGAAUCAUCCGGAUUCGGUUACCCCAUAAACACAGAUUUCAAGAUGCUUCUGGCCUUUUGCUUUUGCAGAUGGAAAAGAUUUAUUUCCACUUGUUAUGGUUGGCAAAGUUCUUGAGGCAAACAAGAGGUGGGACAUUGGGAAGGAAGUGAUAGAUUGUGUUACCAAGACUUAUCCAGGAGCCUAUCCAAUACACCCCAAGGUGAACAAAACACACUUUGAUUCAGAUCAUAAUGUCUACUAGGAAGUACUCGAGAUUCCGCUAUCUUAAUUAGGGGAUUGACGGAAAUGAUUUUAUUGACGUCAGGAUACAAAAUUAAGGAAAGUUAAAAAGAUCAACUUAAAAUAGCUAUAUUGAAAUCCAGAAAGAAGAUAUUCAGAUCCUAUUCCGAUUAAUUUUCACAGCGAACUUAUGUUUGGUUGUACCUGCAGGUGGAACCAGCUGUUGGUGCAGCAUUACUAGCAUGGAAUGCUAUAGCAAGUGAAUUAGAUGAUGAUCUUAGGACUGCUGUUUAGGGUGUCCAACAUUUAAUCUCAUAUCACACUGUUGUAAAUUAUGUUUUUGUUUACAUUAUCACCUAGUGGUUUGCAUUUUUUGUACCAAGUUGCUUUGAACAUGCUCUAAUGUCUUCAAGAAGGUUUAUACCACAAAUGUGUGAAAAGGAGAGAAAGAAUACUAGUUUAGCAAAGUUUUUUAAAUGGAAAAGGUGUAACCAAAAGGAAAUGAAGAUGCUUCUGUUAGUUCUUGCUCCCAAUAAACCUUUUAUAUAAAACCUAAAGUUUAACAUCGCACAUCCACAAAGAUAUAUGUACUUCAUAAAUCAGCGAUAAGCAAAGCGCCAUCAUACCACUGUUGUGGACCUGUAAAAAUGUAUGUACUUCAGAAUCUACAUAAUAAGCCAAAUGGAAGGUAGGCACUUACCUCAGAUACAGUCAACUAUUGCACAAGCAAACUUUGAAACAAUGAUCACAAGUCCACAACAGUGUUAUCAACCAUCCAUCCAUACAUAUCUCAGAUACACGUUUACCAUGUAAGUUCAACAACUUAAAAAUAAGUAAACAAAACUUUAGUCCUGACUAACAAUUGAAACAAUGAUACACUUGAUUCAAAAUUUGAAAUACCAUUAUUGCUCUUUAGAAGAUUGCUUUCUUAACAAACAUCAAAUGUUGUACAUAAGUAUAUCCCAUAUAGACUUAUAUGACCAUUAUUACUACCAGAAUUUUACACAAUGAAUAUAGGGAAAUAACUAUUAAUAUAAUGCAUUUAUAAAAUCUUGAUGUUAGUUCUUACUGCAGAAGAAACAAUAUAUCAAAAUCAUUUAUGUACAGAUUGGAGGAAAAAAGUGCGAUCGCCCUCGCUUAUAAAACAUGUUGCAACAUGUACAUCAGAAUGCAUUCAAUAGACUUACAUAUACAGUAUACUAUGUGAAUAUACCUUCUUUGGAGUGAUAAGCCACGAAAGAACUAAACCAAUUACUCAUAUUUGUAUUAGACAUAUCUACAGAUCAAAAAUCUAUGUGCAGUGAACCUAGCUUGUAUUCAUAUCCCGGGUUUCAAAAUUCAGUGUGAUAGACACCCUCAACUCCAUAACAACUGUCGAUUUGCAUAUUCAGUUUGGCCAGAUGCUUUUAAUGGGAUAUUGUUACUCCAUGACAUCAAUAACUUUCUAACACCUCUUCAGCCUCGUCUUAAUUUAGAACCUACAUUAUCUGUAAAAUGCCAAAGGUAAAGCACCAAUCAACACCUUCAUACACAAUAAUCUGUUGUGAUAUGAUGGAACAUAAAUAGUGACAAACAUUCAGAGCUGUAAUUUGUUAGAGCCUUUACAUUCCAAUUACAUAUCCUGAUACUCCAGUAAAUUAAGAUGGUACAUUGUCUAUACAAAUAGUAUGGUACCGUAUGAAGAUUUUCAGGUGACGCUCUUUACACUAUUUAGUAGCAUGUCACGCCUUUAUCCUGAUAGAGAUAUGAGAAUAUGCUAGCUGGCUAGGAUUGACAACUAUGUUCUUUUCCUAAAUUACGCAUGCCAUCUGCACAUCUUUUUAUAUGAUUAGCAGCUAUAAUUUCUCCAUAAUACGAGUUAACAAGUUACAUUGUAAUAUGCAUACCUAGAAGUUAACAAUAAGAAAUUUUCUAAUGGAUAUUUAGAAAUCUAACAAUACGGUUGCAGUAUCUCCACAGGUGAAAUUUACAACUGGAAUAUAUCCAUUUAGUGGCGCGUCAGAAAGGUCAUCUCACCUGCUGCAUCAAGUUAUGUUGUAUCUUGCAAAUCAUCCUUUUGUUUGUUUCUUAAACCUGCAACAAGCUUGCAUGUCUUCAAGAAAGUAUCCAGUAACUGCACACACAGUAUUAAGUAUGAGUGAGAUUCUUCCCUUCUGACUACUAAAGAUUUACAUUAUAAGGCACAUAUACACAAGCAUCAAAGCAUGUCAUUAUUAAAACAAACAAAUUUUCAACUUUCAAAUAUAACAGGUAAGAAUAUGCAAGUUAUGACAGGAGAAGCCAGCCAAAUUCAAUAACACGCUUAGUAUUUUAUGCAAGUAAUCUGCAUUAAAGAAACAGUAAUGCUCAAGGAAUAGUAAGUUCCAUGAUAAAAUAAAAGGAAAGAUGAGGAACUUAGCAUCGGUCACACAUCAUACUUACCCCAGGAUACUGCUGAAAAACAGGAGAAUAAUGCUCGAGAGUCACAUAUAUCUUUUUAACAAGAGCUAGGAGUGCAGUAACCUUGUUUCCCAAAAUGUCAACCUGAGUCAAAUGGACAAACACUUAAAACAGGUUAUGAUAUAAGAUGAAUUUAGUAUACAUGAGUUAUUGCAGUCAAAUAAAAGCAUACUCGAAGAAAGCUCAUAAUGUAUCAAAAUCAAUUUCAAAUGGGUUCAAAUCAGCACUAACUCACUUUUCUACUGUCAGUAAUGUAUAAUAAACAAUGUCCUACUCACCCACUUAAUUAAAACAUCACGGGGGCAUCUUUCCCCUUGGCCGAGACUCGAGAAAAAAUAAUGUAUAACAAACAAUGUUCUACUCAUCAAACAAUUACUAACCCUCUUGAACAGUCACAGAACGAACAUGCUUCUGUAAAUACCUUCUGGUGAAAAAAUAAUUUAAGAUAACAAUGACUGAAUCGAAAUAAGUAAUGUGUCCCAGAAGGGGACACAGAGCUAACAAAAACACUGCGAUUAUCUGACAAAUGGAUGAGCGUAGCAUGAAGUAGCUGUAAUCCUGAAAAUCUGGAAGCAGAGAAAUGCAAAACUAUUUGAUAAUGUCAAUCCUAGCAUAGCAUCCUGGCUAUUGAGGAAUAUGAAAGAGAAGCCAGCUCAUCUACAGGCUUUGCUAGACUCCCUCAAUCCCCAAAAAUGUAUAUUCUCCCCUAGUAAAGCUUUUUGCAUGUAUCAUUACUCAAUACAACCAAGAGAAUUCACUUUGCACUUCACUAUACAGGUACCCUUUUUUGCGAGGAUAAGAAGUACCUUCAUGAAUUGGAUAACUCUCAACAGAAGACCAAUUGAAAGCUACACAACAUUAGACAAGAUCAGAAAACAAAUACCUCAGCUUCAGCUUUCCGGAUCUCGGAACGUCUUGUGUCUAGCAUUUGCUUAUACGAGAGGCCCUUCUUUGUUAGUACUAUUGCCUGUUGAACCACAUGGUUGCAUUGGUCACUCAGAUUGUCUGACCUGCAUUCAAAAGUAAUCAUCAGUAUGUGCUAGAAUCAACAAUAUCGGAUUAUAUACAGACGAUAUAUGCACUAACCUUUUCUCACUUCCUUUUAUAUCUCCUGACAUUUUAUGUUCAAUCUCCAAAAAUUCUUUUGACAAAUCCAUAAUCGAUACCAUAAUGCAAUCUAGUUGCUUUUCGUCCACAUUUUUUCCUUGAAAAAUGUUGUAAUCCAAUUUUUGUUUUUCAACUUCUUGUAAGGCAGUUGAGGCGACCUCUAAAGUCUGGCUCAGUUUAAUGAGUUCCUCAUCAUGCAUACUGUGCUCAGAAAUUUCAUAUGAUCUUCUUGGUGAUACAUGAGGCUCCAUCUCGAUAUCACGGAGUAUCAUUUCCUCAUUCUCUUGCUUGGUUAGCUCUGGAUCUUCCUGGUUAUUUUGGAUUAAAUGUGUCUUUUCUAGAAUGAAUAAUUUUUCCUUUAACUUCUGAUUUUCAUCAUUAGCUAAACACAAUGCCUUCUCCUUUUCUGAGAGUCUGGCUUUAAGUGAUGACACUUCUGCUUGAAAAUUCUGUGCGUCAACAUCCAUACUGAUCCUACAGUCGUCCACCAACUUUCUUGUAACAGUUUGAUAUACUUCAUCCCGAAUAGUGCUUUCAACAUAGAGAUCCUCAUAUUCUCCUUUAAUGGUGCUUACUUGCCUCACAAGUUGCUCUUCCAAUGACAACUGAAGUGAGAUUUUCCUGCUGGCAUCAGAUAUCUCGUCCGAUAAUUCCUCAAUAUCCUUAAUCUUUUCUGCAAGCAAAUCACGAAGGUGCUUGUUUUCAUGGUAUACUGGAUCAGUUCUAUUAUUCAAUAUGCUAUUUUCCUCAAGUGCCUCACUAGAUCUGUAAACUGUUGGUGCCUCUAUGGUACUUGAAAUGAUUUGGUCAACCCUUGAAAUGAUCUCAGGAACUUUCUUCCUUAGAGGCUCAAAUUCAACAUCAUACUUAAGAUCCAAUGAUGCCUUCUCUCGUUUGAAUUUGAACAGCUCUUCCGUUUUAUCUUGCAAGUACAAUUCAUGCAACCUCUUCAGUUUACUAAUCUCAGAUCUGAAGUAGUUUAUCAUUUCUUCCCUAGUCAUACCCUUCAGGUGUCGGAAGUCUGAUUUUUCUGAAAUUACUUCUCUGGGGCUUAUGGACUUCUGUGUUGCAGAGUUCCUCUGUUCCACACUGAAAGAUGAAGAGUUUUCCUCCCCUAUUUUCAUUCUGAGGAGAUUGUAUUUCCAUCUGUCACUGUUGUUACCCAAAUGUUCAUGCUUGCAGUAGGAAAUAUGUGAUUCGUCUUCUGAAGGUAUUAGCAUAUUAGAUAUAGAAAUUAAUUCUUCACGGAUUACACCACACUGACCUACAGUUUCCUUCCAGUUCUUUCUUAGAUUGUUCACAGCAUUAUUUUGCUCAUUCAACUUCCUCUCAAGCUCAUCCUGAAGACCUCUGAUGCAAUCUCCAAUCAUGAUUCCUGUGACCUCUAAUUGUAACUCAUGCUCCCACUGAAGGUCAUGAAUUGAAGCAUUGAACAGGCUCAGCAUCUCCUUAAUUUGCCGGAACACCACAAUCAGCAGUAACUUGAGGUCGUUGAACCCCUCAUCCAUCUCUAUUAGCUUCCCAUGACGACAUAUCAUAGGGCAUGAAACAUUUCCAUCACCGUCAUGGAUCAAGUUGCAGCUUUUCAAGACCCUUGUAUCCUCCUUGAGCUUAUUAAGAUGCUGAUCAACUUCCAGUUUCAUCAAAUCUAAGUAUUCUGUGUAAUUCAAUUCCACAUUUGCAUCCAAAAGGUGUUGGUGUAUCCGUGACACUACCGUUGAAAACGCAUCAAAGUUGCUCCCGAUAUCGCAGCUGCAGUUGCAGGACAACAACCAUGGCGGUGGCACUGCUGAAUCUUUGAACUUGUUAGGCCCUUUGUUAAGCUCGCCGAAAGAAGGCUGCAUGUCAAGAGAAGGCCAGCACACGCCAUUCUGAGCUGUAUAUCGUGACUGACUAGUUGUGGCUGGUAUUGUCAAUCUACUAAGAAAUGGAUCCAUUCCUUCAUCAAACACCUGCAAUGCUUCUCAUGUUAAGAUUCGGGAAUUGAUGGCCAACUCAGAAAGUAAAUGAUUUAGUGCAAAGUGAACUAAGGAAAUGAUUUAAAUAAAUGUAAUGGAACACCACAAACGAUUUGUCUGAAAACUGGAAACAGGUAAGACCUACGACUCAGCACAAGCAAUUAAUUCUUGGAUAGUGUCUAAGAAGGAUUUUAGAUAGUACGGGGUGCACUGUAGGAUUUGCAACAAGUGAGUAGUACAGCUUGUUUAGGACUUACUCCAGAAUGCUGCAUCGGUAAUCUAGGUAGCAGAAACACAGGCGGGUGAAUUAACUAACAGACGCCGAAAUUAUCUCAAACUUAUGACCCCCUAAAACUGCAACUCACUCGAAUGUUUCAGUGCUAUUCCCGAAUGCCCCCCAAAUGAUGUAAGAGGUGGUAGCAGUAGCAGAAUCGGUGCAAGUUGCAGCCGGCGAGCGGCGAUAACAAUGGCAGGAAACACCAAAACUAUAUCAUAUAUAUCUAUUCCACUCCAGCUCGCACCGGAAACUGCCCCCAACCAGCUGCAGCUAAAAUGCGCGGAAGCGACAGCAGCCGAGUCAUUCGAUCGGCUGAAACAGCGAGCCCCCGCACACUGAAACCCCCCUCGAACCUUGCGCAUGCAGCGGCCUGAGGCCUCAACCUCAAUCCCCGCAACCCUAAGCAUAAAGCGUUACGUACGACAUCCCCGGCGGUCAGCCACACCCGCGCGCACAGCAACAGACCCUCUCUGAAGUCUGAACCGCAGCACAACACCAAGCAAGCAAGUUCAGAAUCCGACCCCACCGCAGAGGAUUUUUACCGCGAGAUUUUACAGCGGAAAACGGAAGCAGAGAGAGACACUCACGGGCUGGAUCCGCGCCAUGGGCAGUCGCAGCUAGCUUCACCUAGCUGCGACGGCGGGGAGGUGCGGGACUCCUCUUCUGCAAACGGCGGGGGCGGCGGAGGAGGUUGUCUCUACUCUCUAGGGUUUGGGAGAGGCAGGAGGAGCGGAAGAGGGAGAGAGGCGGUGGUGAUGCGAGAGCCGGGGGCUGGAUGGAUGGAUUGGAGUGCUCCAACGAUCGCCCCCGCGAGGAAGACGACACAGCAGUGAACGAACGAGUCGGGAGCCGGACGGCGCGGGGGAGUAGUAACGGACCAACGGUGGGGGCGGGGUGAAAGCCACACGGGGCGCGACGGAGGAGGCUGACGUGUGGGUCCGGGGUGAGUCCGGGCCCAUCGGGCGGCGGGGGUGGUUGGCUUUCCGUGGAGUGGGAGUGUGACGUGUGAGUGGGGCCCGGGAGUCAGUUGCGGGGGUGGAAGAGUCGUAGGGGGUGCUGAGCUGGAUAGGGGGCGGGGAGCAGUACAGUAGGAAUGUAGGAGGGGUGGGGGUCCUUGAGCUUCUCGAGAUGCGCGCCGGGUUUGAGGACGGCCGUUGGAUCUGCCGGCUGGAUGCUUUGGCGCUGCCGUGCCAAGCCGGGUUGGGUUGCGUUGCGUUUUACCGUCUGGCAUGCACUUUGGUUUUUCUCCUCCCGUUGUUAUUUGGGGCCAUAGUUUAUUCCGUAAUUGUAUCUUGAUUCCAAGGGGUUUAAUAAAGUAAAGUACAUCCCCGUAGAAAAAAUAAAAAAUAAAGUAAAGGAUAUCUGAACUAAAACAGCAACAAGAAUUAUGAGACCGAGGGAGUAAUCUCUUUCAUCUAGAACCAUUGUUUUAACCAUUCUAAAGCUUGGACACCAUGGUGUUUUAUUCCACCAUGGACAUCCUGCCUUAUUUUUAUAAUACUCUCUCUGUCUGAUUUAAAUCUAAAUAUGGACGUAUCUAUAUACUAAAAUAUGUCUAGAUACAUGUAAUAGAAAGUCAGUUAAUAUGGGACGGACGAAGUACCAUCUAAUUUUUCAUGGUUUCCUACUUUCCUCCCUCUCAAGGAAUAAAAUGAAGAAUGAACAAUUCGAUCAUAUGUGUACUCGAAACACCUCAUUAUAAAUUUCAGCUGCACAUGGAAAUCAAUAUGUGAAGAUCAUGCACUCGACACCUCUAGAAUAAAGUACUGGGUCUGGAUUUGGAUCUGAUAGAGCCAUUAGUUUCAUCGUAGAUCUGUAGUGGCAUGUUCAUGUUGGCAGUUGAGACAACAGGAAGAUGCCUUUUUAUUGGUACCAUGCAUCCAGACAUCCAGUUAAGGUCUUCAUCAAGUGGAAGAAUUAACAAACGGGCUUUCCUAAAAGAAGAAAAACCUAUCUCUCAAACUCAAUGGUGAUGAAGUGUGAAAGGGUUCAUACACCUCACAAUUAUGAAGCGAGACCGUAUACAUACAGGCACAGCUGUUCUUGGUAGAAACAAAGAGGAAAUAACUGAAAGUGUCUUUUGGGCACCUGACAGUGAAGGAUGCACCUAAAGUAGCAUGCCCACAAGAUCCGCAUGAGAGCCUGGAAGCUGGACAAAAAGGGAAGCUGAAAGGUACAGCUCACCUAAAUUCACUACCAGAACACCUGAACCUGUCUGAAAAGUUGGUUCCAUUUACAGUCUUUCCCAGCUGCAGCACCCGUAACCUUUGCAUACAGGUCAUGGUCUCAUGGAGAGAAGAGAUGCAGGGGUAGCGAUCACCUUCAUCAGCUGAAACAAGAAAGAAAACUGCAUGGCAUGUCAGCAUGUGCAUGAAAAUGAUGCCAGGAAUCUUCUCUUUGUCAUACUUCUUGCAUGACCAGGAACAGAAGUGGAAAAGUGGCACAAUGAUGGAAAAAGGCAGGGAGUUUGAUAUGUUCUUAUCCUUAAGACACAUCUUUUCCUUAGAUUGCUCCAGAAUGCAGGUGCUUUGGAAGAGACCAAAUAAAGCAUGCAUAAAUUAAGGCAUCAAUCAUGCCACAUGAUGGGGAUUAGCAUCCUUUUGACCAUAUAGAUAAAACGGAGCUGCAGCUUAGCUAGCCUUCUGAUAACAAUGUUGCUUUAGUGCAUGAAAGUUAUGACAUGUAUACAGCAAGAUGGGCACUUGAAAACAAUUUUACAACUCAGCAUGUAGAGCAGUAGAUGGACAGGAAUAACUAGCUGGUAUGUAGGACCUCACAGCCAAAAGUGCGCUUUGUUUUUAUUCAUCAUGUGAGGGUGAGGCAGAAGCUUGUGAAUAUUGACAAUUUUACAAUCCAAGCGAGCAUAAUUCAUUUAUCUGUUACGUUUUUCAUCGCGGUUAAAUAAUCAUGAUCCAUGACACUGUAACCUUGUAAACCUCAUCCAUGUGCCAGCUUCUUGUCUCAACUCUCACCUCUUUGCUCGUCUACUCUCUUGAGCAUGUUCUGGAUCCCUGGCAUCAUCCCCUUCAAACUGCAAAAGCAGAUGCGCACACCAGCAUCCAAAAGCUUGAAAAUCUCAUCACUCUACUCCUCGAUCUUGUACUGGACGUACAUCUUGCCACAGCUCUUGUUCUUCUGCUCCCGGCUUAGUUCAUUGGCAUACCUGCAAGGUUGACAAAAGUUGAGUCAGUUCGCACAAGAAUCAAGCAGCCGUACUUAAGACAGACAUAAAAACAACUGGCUCGUAGAGAUCUGAAUUGCACAAGUAAAUGGACAUAAUGCUUUAAUCAACAAAGAACAGGUAAGUAGCAUUCUCAACUAUAUGAUACUCUGAAAUGAAUUUUCGAGCAUGAUAAGUCUGGAAACCUGAAAUUAUCUGGAUACUGGUGAAGGUAGUCUGUGAACUCUUCAUCAUAGAGAAGGCUACCAGUGUUGGCGACACAAAGGGAGAGCCAAGACAGACGACUAAACUUGAAAGCUGGUACAUCUUCAUAUCUCAAACAUAAAAUGCUCUCAACAUCUCAAACACACACGGGCUUGCAGAAAAAAAAAAAAGACCCAUCUCAAACACAGAGUAACGUCAGCCUUUGGUAGAAGCAUAUGCAUAGAUGAAGUACCAAUGUUUCAACGAUGUCAGAUUGUAGCUAAAUGGGAACCCAAACACGUCUGCGAUGAUGAAAAAAGAAAAAUGAGAGAGUGGUUUAUUCCUUCGGAAAUAGAUUGUUCUCGCAGGCUGAAAGCAAAUGAAAAAAAAAUCCUAAAUCCUAAGUAUAUUCUGUUACAUUCUUAGGUUCUUGCUAUUUCACAAUGUCAAGCAUCCAUUACCAUGCUUCAAGAAUGCUCAGAGCCUCAGAGUUUGGCCACCUAGUUGGUGCAAAACAAAAUCUGGCAUCAUACUGUCAUCUGGUGAAACUAUCUGGUCGAAACCACCUUGUGGCACAUGUCCUGACAUAUUCAAGCAAUAAGUUUUACCGCUUCUGUUCCAGAGACAAGUGUAUCUUCUACAAACGGUAUGGUCUUCCAUACUUUUAAUCCUACUGGUACAGGACAAUUUUCAGAACCUGCAACAUGCACCAACGACAAUGAGCGACUGAAAGAACAAGAUAAUCAAACCGUUUGUCUCCAGACUGGAAAGUUGAAGUACAAACCUAGAUUUCUGGGAUCGUCCUCUAUACAGACUGCCAUGUAGUGAGAACUAUUCAGCUCGGCUAGUGUAAAUUGCCAAUUCUCAGACAGAUUAUCACAACCAGAAUGGGUAUCAUUGCAUAAUUUUGAUGCCUGGCAAAUCCAACAAGAAACCAGGCAGAUCAAUAAGAUGGUUUGAUGUUAAAUUGCAAAAUGAAAUAACAAAGUGGCUGACUUCUAUGAUGUUCUAGGAUAAAUAAAGACAAGAUACAAUUCCUUAUGAAAUUUGCUUAAUAUGACUACUGACCGUUUGGUCAAAACAAAUGUUAGGGGCCCAGGGUCCAGAAGACCCACGUGUCAGAAGGUGUCGCAAAAUAUCAUGUGAAUUGUGUUCACACACAUAGAUCUGGAGCUCCCUUUCACAUGCAGUAUAUGUUUGUUAAAGACACCAAUAAAGGGGAAAGGUCAAACAACCACAUACCUUAGAAAUCUGAAUUCCCUGACUUGUUCCCAACACGAUUGAAAACCUAUUGAAUGGAGCACCUGAGAAAUCCCUUCCAAGAGCCUUUACAUAUGCUUCCUAGAAUUUAGAUAGAUAUCAAUGGUAGCUCCAUGUAAGCAAUAUAUUUUGCACCUUCAUAUCAGUAAUCAGUAUUAUUAAUAUUUAAUUUACAUAGGGCAAUAUUUUGUGCAAACCCAACUUUGGUGCUAACUCUUCUUAUAGUGAUUCCUUUUUCCACGAAACAUUAUUCAUAAGACAGAAGCCCAUCCUAUGGGUCCUUCAAUUUGAUACAAUUAAUACCAUCAUAUGUUACGUACGAGUUAGCAAGUUAGUUCCAAGCCUGAUUUAUAGAGGAAAGAACAACAAAGUCAGCUACUGUGUGCUUUAUGUGGUCACAUUAGAUUACGUCAUGAUUCAUGAAUCAGUUGAUAGACAGACAGCAAAUCGGCACAAUAUAGUGAUUUGCAUAGGGAAGGGCUGUAAAGUAGAGGAGCAAAGAGAGCAGCACUAACUUUAAGAGUCCAUAGUUUUAUGAAUUCCUUCCGCUGAGCAUCCAAAUCAGAAAUCUCAGCUAGAUAGUCAACUUCAGAAGGGGUAAAAUAACGGCAAGCAAGAGAUAAAAUACUCUUGGCUGUCUUCCGCUUCUUCUCUUCAAUAUCAAUGCCAAUCUGAGUCAGUACAUAAAACAUCAAUGUCAACUGAAUAACUUCCACAGCAACAGAUCGAAAUAUGGGCAUUUCUUUCUCUCACUUUUGGCAGACACAGGGAAAAGGAACAUACAUGAGCAUGAAUGGCAAUGCCACAGGCAAUCAAAGAAGAUGUGUGUGAAAUAUUGAAAUGCAAAGGUCGUUCCACAAUGCUAUCAUCAGGUGGCCACACUAUCUGAUCAAACAUGGAAAGUACUUUAAAGGGAUCUUAGUUACAACUUACAAGACUUUAAACUCCAGAUAAAAGAAACCCUGAAGUAUAUAACCUCUUACCUCAGGUUUGCCGAAUUUGUUCUUCUUAAACUCAAAUGACCUUGGAUCAAUUUUACAAUCUGUAUCUAGUCUAGUUCAAACAAAUUAGCAAUAAGCAUAUCAGUGAUUCUGUAGUGCUAUCCCAUGACAUGUUUGAUGCUACAUAAAAUAUAAUUAGUAACAAGACAAGAAUAUACUAGUAUAAGGGAGUGCCUACACUAGUGAAUCUAACAUCUGCACCAAAUUUCUCGAUUGAAUAACUCCUAAUAACAAGAUUGCAGACAACAAUUAUUGGAUGAUAGUAACAUACUAACAGGCAUGAAAAUUACAUUAAAUGCAAUCAAAUAUUCAAUAGGCGGUUGGUGGUUACAUACAUCUUGAGAGAGUGGUGCGCAACAAUGCACGGGACAACAUAGCGUCUUUCUGCAAUGUUGUUUCAUUCAUAGACAAAGCAUACUUUCGUUCAGCUGGAGAAAGGAGUUCCGCAUAUAUCUUCAGUUGGGAGUGAUCAGUCAACUCGUCAGGCAAAGAUACCAAACAUGCACCUCUCUACAGAAGAGAUAAACACACAGACUGAUGUCCUCAAAAUAUUAUAAUGCACCGCUGUUGCGACAAGUAAAGAUCAACAAUUUGUAAAUGUAAAAGAUAAGAGUUACACUCUCAUCAAGCACAGGCUUUGUGCAACCCAAGAGAAAUAACGACCCAAAGCUAUAUUACAAGGUGAUUCAUUUCUUGAGUUGUUGGUUAAUUCCAGGCCAAAGCUCCUUUAGCAAAUGCCCAUUGCAAGCCCGAAUGAAGUCCACAAACUACAAUCUUAGCAAAUGAUCGUCUCAUCCUCUAAUAGCAGUUGUUUAACAUCACUGGUUUGUUUACUCUUGCAGGAGAACUAGUAUAGUGACUGCGUGGUUACUGAUAUGUUCAAUGCUCAUUUACUACCUUACUGUCAUGCACAUAGGAAGUUAAGGACAGUGGCUAAUUUGACUUUUACAGCCCGUUUGGCAACCAUCAUUUCAUUUCAUUUGGUAGAAAUGAAAUGAAAUCCAAUUUUUUAUAGGAUUUCAUUUGGUUGAAUUUGAAUUACUUGUUCAAAUUAAUGUUUGUCUACCACAUGGAUUUGUAGAGUGAGAGACAAUUCCAAAGAAAUGAUGGCUUUUGGAGAGGAAUUGGGGUUAGUUAUAGUGCAAUUCCAUGAAUUUGAGAUUGAAUUCCUGUGGUCAAUUCCGUGCCAACCAAACAAGUUCGUUUCUGGAACUUAAAAUGAAUUCCAAAAUUCUAGACCCAAAUGAUGGGUGCCAAAUGAGCUGUUAGUGAUCCACAUAGGUUUAGAAAUGGCAACCGGAAGCUACCAGCGAUCUUGCCAUCUUCUAAUAUUGUCAGAUAUAAUGCACUACUUCCUGUAUCUAAAUGCAUAUACCAGCAAAUGCCAUAUCGCCAUACUGGUUUCAUGUAUCUGGCUACUAGCCGUCUCUAGCUUUCCCCAGAUCUACCAUCGGCCCAGCAGGCUCCCAGUUCCCAGAAACUCACAACCUAAUUGCAAGGUACUUCAAAGGAAGGGAGGGCGUACCUCCGGAACCGGAGAGGUGGCGGCGGCGGGAGGGACGCGAAGAGGCGCCGGCCGGAAACCCCCGGCGUCUUCAGCGGCAGCGGCGGGAGAGGCAUCGCGCGGCAGCGGAGGAGGCGGUGGUGCAUGCGGCUCGGGUGCUUGGCCUCUGCUCCUCCCGAUUUGGUUUAUGGCGCGGCAGCGGAGAAGGCGGUGGCAAGAAGGGACCAGCCGGGAGCCGGCCUGUUGGUUUCUUGAGUCCGCCGCACCGGGAGCAGGGAAGCUCGGCGGCGGUGCAGACCCAGCCAAUGACACUUUGCUGAGUAUUUGUGAGGCGACGCUAUCCAACGGCAGGAUGCAAUCAGUGAGAUUCGCGAAAAUUUAAAGAUACUCAUCCAAUCUUAAAUUCUUAUUGUUAUUUUAAUACAAAUUUGAACAAAAACAACGAAAAAAAUAUGUACUAAAACAACGACAAGAAUUUAAGAUCGGAGGGAGUACAAAAAUAUCUUGAUUGUUGACUGAGAAAUAAACACUCUCAAGUCUCGAAUCGAAACACAUCUAUCCAUGUAGAUUGUGUUGUUAAUCGUAAGUUUAAAGAUCAACGAAGUCAUAGUGCUGGGACGACUCAAGUGCGGAAAAAUGACUCUGGGCAGGUUCCGCUUCGUGAUGGGGUGAAGCGCCCCGACUACGAUUUUUCAAGUAUCCAAUUUGAAUAUUUUGUAAAUAUGGAUGUCAAAGUUUGAAAAUUUGUCUCCAUUUAAAGAAACUAACGUCUUACAUUGAAACAAGAGUUUUCUAGCCAGGGACAAAUAUACAUCGUGCUUCUCGUCGUGAGCUUAAAAAUUGACAGAGUCACGAUGGUGGCAUGACCCGCAAAUCGCAAACAAGUCCGAGAAAAUAACAUCAGUAACAAGAAUAGUUGUCCGUGAGGAUGUCAAUGUUCAAGACUACUAUGACCAGGGCAACAGGAAUAUACGAACCAAUUCUCCCAGCAGAAAAUUUACCUACUUACCAACGCACAGUAUAACGCAACGAAGGAACAAUCUCCAUGACCAUGCAUGACUGAGCAAAUUCAUGUGUGCUAGCACCAUAAUUGUAACAGUAAUACAGCAAACUCUCAGGUAUUAGUCCACACGGAAUCACGAUGAAGCUGUUUAAAUAGCAACCAGAUGCAACAGAAGAGAAGAACCAUAGUUUCUUCCCCGGUUUAUUACAAGUUUCUAAAUGAUUCAGGAUGCCGAAAGCCAGCAGAAGACUUGUUAUUACAACAAACAGUUUUUUUUGUUUUCUGAAUGGAAACUGCAGCACAUUGUGCAAUUCACAAUUAGAUGGAGCGUCGCUUGUGGCGAAUUGCAGCGGCGACGAGAUCACUCAAUUUCUCUGGCCCGUUAUCUUUCGGGACAAUUUCCAGCAGUCGUUUGAGACGCUGCCGUGUUUCAGGUUCAUCCUGCGUUUUAACCAAGGAAAUGCAGUCAGUAUUUGGUUGGAUCCUUCGAUCUCGCGUGACACCUGCUUCAGUGCGCCAACAAUGAAUUUGUGACAACAGACAGCUUUGGGAAUAAGACUCACCUUGAGACAGUUAUCAAACGUCCGGUCCCUCAGCACGGGAGGAAUGAAACCAUGCAGCGUUCCACGGGCAUUGGCACUGGAGAGGGAAGAAAUAAAUAUUGGCUGACUUGCAAAGAGGUGUGAAAUGAUUUCAAAAUGUUGGGAAUGAUGGCACAAACCUAGGAAUCUCCGUCAGCCUGAGGUAACAACUGAUAAUGUGCUUCAGUAACUUCGUGGAAGGGCGGUCAGUCAGUGAUUCAACCAUGUUUGCUAAAGCCCAACCCAUGUCAAAGAAACGCUUAGGAGUCUCACAAAAAUAGUCCAGCCCAACAUCUUCGAGCAGAACCUUUUCAACAAUGAAAGUAGCCGCCUGCAUAUACAUUCACGUGAUCAGUGAAUCCGAGCAAUGGUCAUAAGAAUCACCAGAGCGAGGGGCAAUUUGUUAUGGGGUUUAUUUCUGGGACUUUGCUUCCACUUUUAACUCCACCUGCAAAGAGAGACUUAAGAUCCUGCUACUCAACUUUACGUUAAUUGAUGGGACCAAGUGGUACAAAACUACAAAUGCAUCUGCUACACAAAGUAGCAGCAUAACUCCGGGGAAGUCACAUGUGAAAUGUGCUUUGUGGAUCUACAUCAUGAUAUAACACGUGAACCUGUAAAUUUCUGUACAAAAAUGUGACCAACUGUGAGUUAAGUGAAUAAUAUUGCAGUUUGAAGUACCAGCAUAACUCUUUGUUGCCUCGGUUGAUUAUAGAUUUGUGGCUCUGUGCAUGUCGUUUGGAAGAUGUGGGCACGUCUGUGUUGCAAAAUCUUCAUCGUGUGGGUGCUUAGAAGACUGUGUUGAAUGGCAGAGUGACUCACUAAAUGUGACCUUUCGAAUCACACUUAUCGCGUCUUCUGCCAAUCAAUCGACAAAUACAUCAACAUUAAACACCCUCUGCUUGGCUGUUAUAUCUCUGGAACCUUAUGGACUAUGAUUCUGGACAAUCCUUGGUUUCGACAAGAAUCAACGGAAAAACUAAGGGGGAGAAGAAAUGAGCUUUGAUAGCCUAAUUAUUUGUCGCAUGGCACGUACAGAAGGAACGCAGGUUUAUAUGCGCCUAAGGCUCUAACUCUGAUUUUCUCUCCGGUUAUUGUAAGAUAUCAUAUUUUGGAGCACGGGCUCCAGCCCUAGGCCGUUUAUCUAGUCUUUUUAACUUUUCUUGUUGUUUUCUGAAAGAUCGCUUGGGGAAGGUCCCUGGAGCCUAACCCCUUUUACUCGUCUUUAUUUCUUAUGCAUUUGCAUGAAACUCUCCUGCAUAUAACUAAUCUGCCAUAUUGGGUGAGCGUAGUAUAAUACUAUAAUGUACUUAACAAAUAAACUUCUCAGAUAUCUGAGAUAUGUGCAACUGAUAAUAAGCAAAAAUCUCUAGGUGGCAAUAUCAAAGAUUAUCCCGAUUAAACAAGGUAUAAAGCAUGUCAAAAUCAGGACACAUGCAUAUUAGUAUAAAGCAUGUCAAGAUCAGGACUGACAGUCAAGUGAUGCAAGCUGAGAACACGAUUAUGUUCCAUGUAAACUUAUGGCUAAACAGACUAAAGAUUAAAGGUGGUUUACAUAUCACAGAUUUUGGCAUGAAACAGGUACUUGUUUCUUAUAUCUUUGGACUGAAACUUGAAUCUAUAAGUCAGGAUUUAAAUUUUGAAGCAAAAUCUGGAGAAAAACUAUGCAUAAAUACGUGUAAAUCAAUUAAGCCAUUUUAUGACUUUAAAUUACAUUUAGCUUAUUUUUCUAACUGGGCCAUGGGUAUCCCAUGGGACUGUGAACCUGGUGGGGGCAGGGAUGGGAGAGAAUUCUCCGCGUUAUUUUCCUAAUAAAUUAUAUGAUAUGGCUGAGCAUAAGCAGAAUAUGAUAAAAUUUUACAUUACAAUUAAGGUGGUUAGCUACAUACAGUUUUUGAAAGCUCGUCGCCUAUCUCCAUGAUAUUGAAGCACAAAGAAAUGACUCCUGAUCCCAGCAGAAAAUUGAUAACUUCGGCAUCCUUAUCCUGCAUGCACAUAUCAAAAUGAAAAGAGACAUUGCAGGAUUAGCAUUGACAAAAACAAACAGGGGCUUUAGUAUGUUAUGAUGCACUUAAACAAAGCGAAGGGCAAGACUGAGGAGCAAGUGCAACAAAAGAAGUUUAUUCUUUCAAUCAAGGCUUAAUUUCUUAGAUACAGCUGUAAAUUUUGGUUCGAGAUACAUCAACAGUUUCAUAUGGAUAGCAUAAAAUCUUGAAUCAUCAAGUUCAUAAUCAUCGGUAUUACUGGGUUAUCCAGAUUGUUUCCUUGAGUUAAGCUAAAAAAAAAGAUUGUUUCCUUGAGAAAGCACAAAAGCCUUGAUUAUCGUUACAUUAAUAUAUGAAUUGGUUGCAAGUCUAAGAGACAUUCCAAUGGAACACCCAUGCCAUGGUCCCACACAACGUUGCAGGCAUUGAAAGAGAAAAUCAGUAAACACCGACCCCAGCAGAUAGAUGGACAUGUUGGACAGGGACGGCACAACAGCUCGGACAUGUUGCUACCAGGUCAUCCAGUUAGUAAAAUCCAUUAUAUAAGGAUGCCAUGUAUCUCAUAAUUAAUCAUGCAAGAACAAGUAUCUACCAUCUAUUUGUUAUCUCAGCCCACCAUAUUCUCCCAUCCCAACCUAUGGCUAUCUCCCACCUCCAUAGACCCUAGUCUCCUUGUUAAACUCGUUUAAGCAGAAUAUGAUAAAAAGUUACAUUGCAAUUAAGGUUCAAAACAUUUGAAGCUAGGCUAAUUAUUCAUGUUACCAGCACUCGAGAACUAUAUCAUGUGGUGAAAACCUUGAUAUUUACCUAUGUUUGGAUCAGGUAAUUUGAAGGUAGACUAAGGGUUCACUAGACUCUGCUAAACACGUAGUAAAAAAUUAUCCAAGAAGUAGAAGAUAAUAAGUUGUGAAUGGGAUCAAUUUUCUCUAUCUAGCAUUCUAGUGUAAGGCAAUGUAAAGAAUGUAGACUUCCAGCCUUCCAGGUGAAUUACCUUAACAAGAGCACCAAUUACGGCCAAAGUGGCAAGCCGCAAGUACUCAAAAGGCUUGGACUUGUCGACGGUUUGCAGAAAUGGGUAUAAGUACUGCGGAAUACAAGCUGAAAACAACAAAAUAAAAGGAAAAGUAAAUCACUAAUACCAAGAAAUCCAAAAUCUAAGGUAUUAUAGAAGUUAAAAACAGACACUCUAAAUUUUUGUGUGAAAAAAGUCAGAUAUCAUAUACCAGCUAAUGUCUACCAGAAAAUGGUGAGACGAAAAUAUUUAGGGAAAAGGAAGAUAAUUGAUGAUGCAAUCUAACAGUGUAUUCAAUCUCUGACGAUAUGCAUAGUCAUGCUCAUUACCAUUUACAAACAGAGUCCUAGUCUCAGGGUGUGAUGCAACACACUGCAAUAAUAAUAAUAAAAGAGGUUAUGACAUAAAAUAUAAUAUGGGAAGUUAAAGUGAUAAUGAAGAAACAUAAAAAAAACUUCUACUUGCAGAGCAAUAUGCGACCAACAACCAAAUGUUUUUGCUAUCAUUUUCUGCCUAAAAGUUUACCUGAAAAAGUGUGAGUGCAUAGCAGACUCGAUUCGAUGCAGCCUGCAUUAAAUUUGGGGAUGAAAGAGCAGGGUAGAUUUCUACAAUCUCCUGUUUAAUUUUCCAAGAAGCCAAAAAUAUCGGUGAGAAAGAAAAGAUGUCAAAACUUAAAUAGAAGGUUUUUUAAAGAAAAUUUAAAUAGAAGGUAUGACACAGUUCCUUUGUUAUAUUGAGUAUUGACAAUAACUGUUAUGGUCACCAACUGCAUGCAAAUUGAGUACGACCAAGAACAACUGACCUCGAUAACAUACUGGACACAAAACACAAUUAAUGAAAUAGGCUCAAAACAUACCCGGAGCAGCUCGGAAAUUAUGCCUCUCGAGUGCCACAACAGCAGAGCCAGAUCCUCAACCGUCUCUGUCUUCUGAAGUUGCCAUAAACAACAUUAUACAUUAAAUUUUUCUCUUGAUGAUGUAGCGUGCCAAUGAGUGCAUAUACAACUUAUCAUGUUUUAGCUCAAAACCAUUCCUGAAUUAAUCAACCACAUAAGAACUGAAGAUAAAUCAGUUGGUAAAAGAUAAAAAAAAGCACAUCUCAUCAUCAAAGCAGCACCACUUGACAAGCGAAAUUUCAUUCAGUUUGGAAUGGAUUCCUAUCCCUGAAAAACUAUUUCAGUAUAACAGUAUGCAAUUUAGGCAUUGAACAUGCCUAUUAUAGUGCAUAAAUAAACAAAAAAUUAUUUGAUGAUGUAGCAAUGGAGACAUUUGUCAUAGAACUGAUUCAAUAAAAAUAGUCAUAGGAUGAGAACUUAAAAGUUUUGCACUUGCCAAAGUAUGGGAGAACAACUAUUAGAGACAACCAUCAAAUCUAUACUAAGCAAUUGAAGGUGUUCCAUAAAUAAUAUCUAGUUUGAGAACUUUGGUUUCGUGCAAUACACUAGCAAUUGGGGAUUUUUUUUGGUGUGCGUGUGGGGGUGGGGGGAGGGGGGGUACACGAAGAUUUAGGAAAGUUCAAUUUGUUCCUCGAGAGAUGCGCUAAUCAGAAAAAUGCAAGCACACAUGGAUCACCUUGGAGAGCUCAAGGAGGGCUUUCUCCCGUAGAUCUGAGUUGAAGAUAUUUCGCACCAACUGCCCCACAAUUGCCAUGGGUUCGUGCUUUGCCUCCUGCACCACCUUAGUACCACCUCUUCUCCCUCUCGCCGGAGAACGAGACAAAUGCAAAGACUUGGAGGAGGAGGAGGAGGAGGAGGAGAAGGUGGAGGGGGCCAUGUAGAGGGGGGAUGUAAUCUUUUCCAUUUAACGAAGGAAACUAAAAUACAAGGAUUUUCUUGUAUCAAGAUUAGUCACUCUUACCACUUCCUCUCUUGCUCUUAGAGGGGAUUUUAUACGUGAAAUAAUCCUGGUUUGCACCCACCGUGUGGGGGAAUGAUCUGUGGGCUACAACAAACUUUUCCGUUUUCUCACGAAAAAGUAUGUAAUCAGUUUUGGUAGCUUUUGCGUUGUUUAUUCGGUUUUGUCUUUAGCGUAACAAACAUAGAGUUCACGUCACGAAAUAAGUUUAGUAAUUUAGUCUGCAAUCGUCCACUUUAUGGAUUGUGUUUUCUGCAUUCUAUACCAUUUACAAUUACACUACUAUUUUAACUAUAGAUCUGUGAUGAGACUGCCACAUUUGCACAAAUAAUGUUGUGCAUAAUGGCUUGUCCAUGCUUUCACUUGUAGUUUUGAACAUUUUAAAUCUGUGGAUCUUUUUUCCUUCACUUGCUCAUGGAGAAUGCAAACUAUUACAAAUUUUGCUUCUUUAAACUUGCCAUGUUAAGUUGUAACUCUUCAACCUGGUCACUUCAUCCAUACCUGUCCACACCCAUAUCCGAUGUACAUCAUUUUAUAAUAAGAUCUAUUGUUGGGAUCUCCGCUCCAACACUUCCAUUCUUAUUCUUAAGCAUCGAUAGUAUAUGAUGCUUGCAUAACAUAUCCUAUUUAAUUGUGACAAAAUGAAACAGUGGUGGCAAUGAGGACAUUUAUUUAUUUUCCUAAGAACAGAUAAUCUAAAUCAAUGCAACCAUUUCAAAAUUUAUUUAUUUCCGGGAGGACUGUGAAGAUAAUACAAAUAAAGAUGCUUUUUUGUUAACAAAUAUUAUUUACAGCAGGGUCAUAUAAGUUCUCUUUAAUAUACAAAUAAAUCAUACAUGAUAAUAAAAAGAUAAAUUACAUAAAGAAACCAAUGCAUUUUCUGGUUAUUCAAUAAGCAUGUAUUCAUGUCUACUUUACGUAUUAUUCACCCAUGUUUCUGGUACUAGGUGCGUUUAUGUUGGACAAGAACAACUAUUCCUAAAUUCACUAUACUCGCAUAUUAUUCACUCAAAACGGUGUAUCACUAUAUCACGAUUUAUUUCAUGAGAUCUGUGGACAAAUUCAUCUAAACUAGGUAAAACAUAAUAAUCAACGAAGAUGUUACCAUAAUCAACUUAAAGCAGCUUAAGAGAGCCGAUUACUAUUGAAAUAAUACAUCAAGUUGAAUAAGAGAUGGUGUAAUAAUAGAUAGUUUAGGAGGAAAAAUUUGAAAUAAAAUACCUUAUGUAGCUCAGAAAGAGCAUUUCAAUUGAGCUCUGGAUCUAACAAAUCAUGAAGAAGAUGCUCCAAAGCAAUUCGCUCAUCAGAAGUAGCAACCUUGCUGCUCAACAUUGCAUUCAACAUAAGAGGGCAUAUAUAAUCAUAUGAGGCAUUCCCAUCAAAAAAAAAAAUCAUAUGAGGCACAGCACCAAGAGAAACGAUUUUGAAUGCUUAUACCAGAAUGAAAUGCAACAACUAUGGGAUUAAAAUAGCUACAGCAAGAUUUCCCGAGCACAAAGUAACGGAAACAAAUUUAUGUGCUUCUUCAUUGGUGUCAUAAGCAAGCAAUGACGCUAUCUAUUCAUCAUAAUCUUUCACCAAACAAAUGGUCAUCACGUUGUCAGUUUCUUCUUUGAUUUGUUGUAGUAAAGAAAAUGAGAAAUCUAAAAUCCCGCAAAAAGGCACUACAUAACUCUACCAUUGAUUGGCACAAUGGGCAGCAAAUAGUAUCAGGUUUACAUAUCGUUUGCAUGUUAUUCUUAUCUCAUCACGACACAGAUGUGGUCCAUUUAUUGUUUUCAUGUUUGUAGCACGGUUUAAUUGCUUUCUAGAGAAUAAUGUACCAUCCUAUAUGAUCAUGCAAGUUUCUUUUUUUUCGAGAAUAUCAUGCAAGUUUCUAGAAUCUUGGUAUAGCACCAUGUUAAAUUCCACUACACUUUCUCCUAAUUGAGGCCAGCAGGGGUGCAGCUGGGCCCCAGGCAACCAGGCCCAUGGCCCAUGGUGUAAGACUGCAUUCAGCCCACCUAUUCUUCUCGCAGCAGGCUCCUUUACCUCUUUAGGCACCCAGUUCAAACCCAGCCCAGCACAGUACUGAACAGGUUCAGAGUGGAGGAAGAACCAGAUCCAUAUGAUCGGAAAUUAGGAGUAACAAACGUAAAAACGUGAGAGUAUGCUCGGUCGUAAUUGUCUCGGGAGUUCGGGUUCUAGUGAUCUCGGGAAAAAAGAAAAUAACUGAAGAAACACAUGAGAAUUAUUUUAAAAACAAUACACAUUUUUGCAAUGUGGGCAAAAGAACAGUGAAUUUUGGGCAGUACAGUUUACUAUAUUAGCUCCUUGAUUUUAAAUCAAGCCACAGAUAUAAUAUCUUUCCUAGAAAUUUUGGAUUACUACAGUUCAUUCUCACAUAUGUAGGGUUUUUACUGAAUUCUUCUAAAACAUCAAAUACUAUUUUUAAUCAUUAUUUCAAAACAUACAAGGUCAUGGCGGUAGAAAGAGCGAAAGAUGGAGACACACGGUGCUUCUCGAGCUCGCCGCGACGCCUUCAUCAUCAUCUAUCGGCACUAAGUCAAGACACCAUAAGCUAUGAAAUUUAGCUAUAAUUUGUUAUGCCUAGACCAUGAGGUAUGUAGCUACGUGUGCUUAAUGUUUGGUCCAAGGGCUUGGUCGAAUCCUGGCUCGCCAAUUGAGGCCAGGGUGUGUUUUCAAAACAAAACAAAAAAAUCUCAAUUGCCUCAUAGAAUCCUUACUCGAGGGCUAAAGGCAAAUGCAAUACCCGGAACACAUCUGGGCUUCAGAAGGUAAAUUAACGACGAAACUAUGAGGGGGAAAAUGAGCCAAUCAAACAAAUCCCUAUCCAAUACCUGGAGCAAACUUGAUUGCUGUCGAGUCUGGAGCGUCCUCCCUGGAAACUUGCCAAGCUCAAUCAGCGAGUUCGACUCCUUCACCUACCCGCCCCUGAUUGAAUCGCUUGGCGGCGCCGCCGCGAGGCGGAGGUAGGAGGGCUCAUCAACUACCGGUUGUUCGUCUCGCGAGGCCAGCCACCGGGAUGGGAUGCGGACUCCCCGCGAGGCGCCGCACCGCCGCCAUUCGCCUUCCGGUUCGAUGCAUCAAAGGGGAAAAGCGCUUCGUCUUUCUUUUUUGCUUUCUUGAUUUUGAAACUGGAAAAGCGCUUAGUCUUCCUGAUGCGCUUUGUGGAAAGCAACUACGCUUCGAGAGGUCGAAAGCGUAAAGUUGGGCAGUGAAAGCGGAAUCUCGUGGCCCGCUUUCCCAUUUUGUUAUUCUUUUCUGCGAAUCACUUGCACAUCGUCUCAAAUAAUACAGCCAAUCGUAUGUAAACAUGAAAAAAAAACAAGCAAAUAGUUGACCCCUUCCAGCAAGUAAUCCUGGAAGGUUUGCACAUUCAGUCACCCCUCAAGAAAUCUGUGUGCAAAACGAUAACAAUAGCUUCUUUACUGCAAACAAGUAAUCCUCGAUCAGUUUCCACAAUCAGUCACCCCCGGCCUCCAGAAAGCUUUCAGCAUCUACAGCUUACAACUCUUUAACAGAAGAAACAAAAGGAAUGGUUCAAAAGAAACAACCCACAAGUUCAGUGGCAACCAGAUUCCGAGAAUCACUUCUCAUGUACUACUCUCUUUUAAGGUGUUUCAGGAGUAUACAGAUCAGAUGGAACUGUGAUUCUGUUACUGUUUUAGAUUGGGAAAUAUCCACGCAACGUUGAGGUGCCGAACAAUAUGACAUGCCUGGAAAAAUGCUAACCAAUACAUUGUCGCGGCAUUGUCAUGUGAUCAGAUACCUGAUCCAGCUCACAAGCUAACCCAUUGUAGGAUUUUCAUAAAAUGCGAUUGCUGGCUAGUAGCCACCCUAAGGACUAAAGGACUUCUGUAAAACAAACCUCAGGGAGCCGGAGCCAGCAGUCUCUGAGUCUAUCUUGCCUCCUCCAACGGUCCAACCCCAGGCACCAUCUUGGUGCUUAGCUCUCCCACUAAGCACCAAGUGAGGUUGAAGGCCAAGAGUAUAUCCUGAGCUCCAACGGUCGGUCGGUCACACGGAAAGAGGCUUGCUAGGGCUUUGAUCUUCAUAAGCCAAAGAAAGAGACCAAACUAGUGUGGCAAUUUGGAGAACAGAGAAGCACAGGCCGGCGAUUCUGCUGUGUUGCAUGCUGCCACAGUGUCUACUUCAAUUGAAAGAAUCGUCUAGCCACCUUGCAAUGUGUGUUCCUCUUUCUCUCAAGUAGCCGCAGCUAUUUUAUUGAUCUCACCACACAGAUGUGCUACAACUAUUUUAUUAUCUCACAGCAAAACAAUGUAUCGCAGACUGAGCUUGAAAAUCGACAAGGUCACCACAAUCGGACAACAAUAUAAUCACAGAUAAGUGUAAGACAAUGGCAUCAGGGCAAUAGGCUCCAACUCUCCAACAAGAAACUCUACCUACUGUCCAAUGCAAGGUGCUUAAGGUAGUGCUACAAAAUUAAACCGGUUUAUUCUCAAGGACCAGUCCUUAUUUCUAUACUAGAGGUGCCUAAUUAAGCACCAGACAAAAGCCGGUUUAUUUUGUGCAAGCACCUCUCUAAACACCUUGCAUUGAACAUGCCCUUACAAACGCAAGUUGUAACCCGAAAACAAAGAAAUCUCCAUAAGAGGCAAUUUAUUAUGUCCAACCAAAAUUUUAAACAGUAACAUAGCAAACUCUCCGUUAUCGGUCCACCCGGAAUUACAAUGAAGCUGUUCUACUGUUGUUAUCUUCUGGGACAAUAGCCAACAGUUGUUUGAGACACUGCUGUUUGCAGGGUCAUCCUGUGUUUUAAGCAAGGAAAUACAGUCAGUAUUUGGUUGGAUCCUUCGAUCUAGUCUACUUCAGUGGACAGGCAAUGAUAGUGCGAUAACAGACAGCUUGGAAGAAAGACCCACCUUGAGUCAGCUAUCGGAUGUCCCAUUUCUAAGCACACUACGAAGGAAAAAUUUCAGCCCUGCACAGGCCCUGCAUUGGAGGGGGCAAAGAAACAAAAAUCAGCGACUUGACAAGAAGUACACGUGUUAAGGGCCUGUUAGGCAUCCCUCUACUCCAUUAAAUCUGUCAACUCCGCUCCCAAACCUCAAUUCCACGCUCCUUGGUCCAAAUCUGGAUUUUUCCAAUCCUGUUUGGGACAGCGCUCCACUCCGCCCGAAUAUUCCUCAGCAGACAACCACGAAGAACUUCACCAUGGCUACCAUGGCUGCUGCCCAUCUCCCCGCCACUCCCGCGCUGUUCCCUCCCUGCACGAGUUUUGCACUUCUUCAACCCCACCUCGCCGUUCCACGCGGGUUGCAUGGCCGAUAGGUCGCGGACGGCACGAGGAGGACUGCUGAGCCGUCGCCGGAGCGGCAGCUGCCUUGAGCGCCUUGUCCCGAGCCGCUUGUUCUGCUUGACGAGGCGGCGGCAGGAGAUUCCAGGGGGUGAGGAGCUCGGCGGCGGGAUUUGCUGGAGGGGGAAGCGCGGCGGCGGCGGCGAGAGCUCCUGAGGAGGGAGAAGAGCGGAGGAGACGAGCUGAUGGGAGAGAAAUAGAACGAGAUAACAAUUCGGGAAAGGUCGAGGGCAUCGAACAGGUAAGUUCGGGGCUGGCGUUGGCAACAUUUUUGUAAGUUUGCCGAACUCUCCGAUUUGCGGGGUGCUCCACUCCGCGAUUUUUGAUCCACGGAGUUAAACCGUUCGGCCUAGCUCUGCCAAAUCCGCACGGGGAGCCGGGAGUCGGAGGAUUUCCGAACAGCUUCUAAAUAUUCGCAAUACCGGGAAUGAGAGCACAAGCCUAAGAUAAUCUGUCAUCCUAAGUUAACAAUAAAGUGCUUCAGUAACCUCAUGGAAGGUUGACUAGUCAGUGAAAUAACCAUGUGUGCUAAAGCAGAAUGCAUCUGAAAAAAAACACUCAGGAUUCAGGAGUGGCAUAAACGUAGUACAUAUAAAUAAAACUGAACAAAUUUGUCACAGAAUUAACACUGAACAAAUUUGUCAUGGAACUGGUUCAAUAAAAAAUAGUCAAACCACAACAGCUUCGAAGUUAUGCACUUGCCGAAGUUUGGGAGAACAACUAUCAAGCACAAGAACCAAAUUUACAACAAGCAAAUGUUCCAUAAGUAAAAACAUCUAGUCUGAGAGCUCUGCUUGCCUCGACGGUGAUGUCUUGAUCAGGAUAUAGUAUAGAAGGCGAUGUCCUGAUCAGGAUAUAGUAUAGAAUGCGAUGACUUGAUCAGGAUAUAGUGUAUAGGGCUAGGAAUUGGGCAUGAUGAGGAAGGGAGAAAUAUUACAUAUUCAUGGUCCUAAUUCACACAAAGUUUCAGCAUAAGUAAUAAAGUCUGCAACAAAAUUCCUUUACCGCAAAAAAAAAAUCCUGCCAAACUAAUAGUGUCAUUAGUUGGAAAAAAAUAGUUACAUCUCAUAAUAACUGCGAUGCAAAGAUCCCAGUUCACUCGUAAGACUUGCAAUGAGAUCAACACCUAAAGACUUCUCAUCAACCUUUCUACUUAGAAUCACAUAAUGUAACAGAGCAAACUACCUUCUAACUUUGCACGGAAUUGUCCACUUCCUCGGACUAGCAUGCUUAAGCCUCUCGUGGAACCCCUUCAUCUAAUAAUCCUAACUAAGAAAUGCCACCAUUUCAAUCCCAUAAAUAUAAUCCCGUUUCCACCUGGAAACCACAAGCAAAAAACAAAUGACAACAUUUGUUUGAUUCAAAAUGUAUCAGCCACCAACGCAUAUACUCCGCAAUUCACCUCAACAACACCAAACUAGAUCAAAUCACUCCCCCAAUGCACCAAUAUGUACAUUUGAACUCAACCAAAACAGAAUAUUUAAACCCUUAAUUCUCAUUGUUUCCAUGUGGACCAACAACACUAAAUUAAACAUUAAAAGAAUAUCACGACUAACCACAAGAGUAAGAUAAAAAUAGACACGAGUUAAACAAGUACACUCUUUACAGUCUAAUCAUCAAUUGCAGAGCAAUGUUGUUCAAUUGCCAACAGUUUGUGCGAACAGUUCCACCCAAUCGCUAAAACUGACACACCAAACCACACAAAACCAUAUUGCAUCAAUGAAAGCUCAAUUUUUACCACUAUCCAGACCAAAAUUCACAACAAGAAUCUUCACUUCAGAUUUUGGAACACCAAAUCUUUCCUCAAGAGGGUGCGCUGAGAAGAGGAUGCAGAUGCACAUGCAAGACCUUGUAGAGCUGGAGGGCUUUCUCGAAUAGAUUAAGGCUGCGGAGAUUGUGCACCAAGUGACCCAAUAAUGCAAUAUGUUCGUCCUCUGCUGCCAUCACCACCUCAAUGCUACCUCUUCUCCCUCGCACCAGAGGAGAUGAAGGCAAGGACUUGGAGCAGGAGAGGUCAUGUAGAGGGAAAAUGGAUUCGCUUCCAAUUCACAAAGGGAAUAAAAAUUGCAGGGCUUCCAUGCAUCUUGAUGUUAGCCCUAGGUUCUAUUUAAACACUCUCACCUUUAUCUCUCCCUCAUAGAGGGGAUUUUUUUUCCUUCAUGCUUUCAGAUUUGUUUACUGCUUAUAUAUUAGAGUAAUCCUAUUUGACACCAUCCAUGUGGAGGCAUGCCUAUGGGCUAAGCAAAAAACGAAUGGCCUCCAAGUUUCAUUACUAGAGGAGUUUAGUGCAUACGGGUCUGACGCGUGUUGUGAUUGUACUUGGCCUACUCAUAUACGCAAUUCUGUCUAUCAAUGCACCGACAUGAAACCAUUGGUAAUUGGGGAUUUUUUUUUGGGGGGGGGGGGGGGGUUUGACACCAUCCAUGUGGAGGCAUGCCUAUGGGCUAAGCAAAAAACGAAUGGCCUCCAAGUUUCAUUACUAGAGGAGUUUAGUGCAUACGGGUCUGACGCGUGUUGUGAUUGUACUUGGCCUACUCAUAUACGCAAUUCUGUCUAUCAAUGCACCGACAUGAAACCAUUGGUAAUUGGGGAUUUUUUUGGGGGGGGGGCAGUAUACACGAAGAUUUAGGAAAUCCAAUUCUUUCCUCAAGAGAUACGCUAAUCAAAAGAGGGCAAGGACGCACAUCGAGCACCUUAGAGAGCUCAAUAAGUGCUCUCUCCCAUAGAUCAAAGUUGUGGAGUUUGAGCACCAAUUGAGCCAUCAGUGCCAUAUGUUCAGCCUUUGCCUCCUGCACCACCUUGGUUCCAUCUCUUCUUCCUCCCGCCAAUAAGGAGAUGAAGGCAACGUCAUAGAGGAGGAACAGGGCAUGUAGAGGGAAGAUGGAUUUUUUUUCCAUUUCACAAAGGAAAUUAAAAUACUAGGGUUCUUAAUAUCAACAUGUUAGCCUUACCUUCUAUUUAAGCACUUUUCCACCACCUUUCUCUCUUGCUCAUAGAGAGGAUUUUCUUUUUCUUUGAUUUUGUUUUCUCUUAUAUACGUGAAGUAAUCCUGCUUGACCAACCGUUUGUGGGAACAAUAUGUGGGCUAAAGCAAGACUUGUGCAUUUUCUUACGAAAAAGUAGGUAUUGUGUUACCUUCUAGAAUUAUUUGUGUGCCCCCUUUUGUUGUUUAUUCAGUUUUGUCUUUAGCAUAACAAACAUGCAACUUAUGUCACGAAAUAAGUUUGACUUUUGUUAUCAUUUAGUCCGUAAUUGUCCACUUCAAGAAAUUAUGUGUACUGCAAUGUUGUAUACCAUUUAUAACUAUCCUGUUAUUUUUAGUUGUUUGGUAACUAUGGAACAGCCAGUGGUUGAUGAGUGAUUCAAUCACAAGCGGGCAGGGGGAGGAGGUCGCUCCCUGACAUAAAUCUAUAGUUACCAAACAACUAAAAAUACUAGUGUAAUUGUAGAUGGUAUACAACGUUUGCAGUCAAUAUAAUUUCUGAAACUUGAAACUUGCAAACAAAAUCACAACAAGACAAACCUUUUUCGUGACAUAAACUCCAUGUUUGUUAUGCUAAAGACAAAACUGGAUAAACAACAAAAUAAGGAGCACACAAAUAAUUGUAGAAGCUAACACAAGCAAUCACAUAUUUUUUUCCUAAGAAAACACAAAAGCCUUGCUUUAGCCCGCAGAUCGUUCCCACACAUGGUUGGUCAAGAAGGAUUAUUUCAUGUAUACAAGAGAAAGAAAACUCAACAGGAAAAAAUCCCCUCUAUGAGCAUAGAGAAAGGGGAAAAGUGCUUAAAUAGAAGCUGGGGUAACACUAACAUCUUGAUAGAAGAACCCUAGUACUUUAAUUUCCUUUGUGAAAUAGAAAAGAAUCCAUCUUCCCUCUACAUGGCCCCCCUCUUCCUCUAAGUCCUUGCCUUCAUCUCCUUCUCUGGUAGGAGGGAGGACAGAGGGCACCGAGGUGGCGCAAGCGACAAAGGAAGAACAGAUGGCAUUGGUGGGUCAGUUGGUGUUUAAUCUCGGCAGCUCUGGUCUAGAGGAGAAAGCCCUCCUUGAACUCUCUAAGCUGUUCCAUAUGCGUCCUUGCCCUCUUCAGAUUAGCACAUCUCUUGAGGAAAGAAAUGGAUUUUCUAAAUAUCAGGUGAAGUUUCUUGUUGUCAAUUUUGGUAUGUAGCGUGGUAAAAACUGUGCAUGCAGUGAUGUCAUCUAGCUUCGUGGGCUUGGGUGUGUCUAUUUUAAUGAUUGGGUGGAAGAGUUGACACAAACUGAUGUCAAUUCAACAAUAUUACUCUACAAUUAAUACUUAGUGUGUAUGUAUUGUUCCCGUGCCUGUUUUUAUUGUAGGGUUUUGUAGCUAGAUUGCAUGAUAUUGUUUUAACGUUUAAUUUAGUAAGGUUGGUCCAAAUGACAAUAAUGAGAAUUGAAAUCUUAAGUAUUCUAUUUAAGUUAUAGUUUAUAGCUGUAGUACAGAUGUACCUGUCGUGCAUUGGAGAUAUCCAUUCAUGCAAAUCUUUCAGUGGAUAAAUGUUCAUUCUGUUGUCGGUUUCUUCUUUAAUGAGUUGUCCAUACAUUACUUUUGUUAUAAAGGAAAUGACGGAAGCCUAUAUCCAACAGAAGGGUAAUCCUUAACUCCAUGCCACUGAUUGCCACAUUCGAAGUGAGAGAGAGGAUAGGUACCAGGUUCACAUGUCUUUCGGAUCAACUUCUGACCGAGCUCCACUGAACUAUGUCGAAGGCCAACAUUAUUUACUGCGACAGCGCGUCUGUUGUCUACCUCGUCGCCAACCUCGUUCAUCAUCGCCACGCCAAACAUGCCGAGCUCAACAUUCACUUCAUUCGCGACAAGGCUGCUCUUGGUCAAGUUUGCGUUCUUCUUGUUUCGACAACUGAGCAUUUUGCUGAUGUGAUGACCAAGGGGCUCCCGACAAUGCCAAUUCAAGAGUUCUGUUCCGGUCUCUGCGUCGGUGACGCUGAGACUGCGAGAGUGUGUUGGCAAACCUGGGUUUGCUCCUGACGUGCAUGCAUGGUCCACGAGUCGUCUACUAUUGCCUCGGUCCACGAUCGUCCAUGCACGUCCUGCUGUUAGCGUCCACGUCCAAGCUCCAUGAGUUUUGUUCACCUUUAGUAGGUGCACGCUUGGACUACGGUUGUACAUGCAAUCAUGCACCAUAUGUGGUAUUUAUACCACCUGAGAUGAUAAUACAAAUUGGGAGGCAGUCUUUCCUCCCAAUUUGUUAGUUUUGUUGAGAUGGCUUUAGGUCUUUCUUCUCUUAGAAAGCAACGAUUGUCACAAAGGAUUAAGAAAAACAGCUAGCUUUCCUCUUCUUCUUUUUCCAAAGAUGAUGAGCUAGCUUUCCUCUCGAUUUGCGACGUGUAGGGGAGGCCAUAUAUGAACAUGAUCCAGAAAUCUCUCAUGCACCCCUUCAGGAAUUAAAAAAGGCGUUUAAUUUGUUCUGCAGCCUACAUACUAUAUCGAACCAUCGUCUCUUUUUCUUGCUGCAGUUAAUAAUACAAUACGACUCGAACAACAGUACUCCACACCAUGCCAGUGGUUUGUAUUGAACACAUUACAGAAAUAAAGCAGUCCUUUUGCUUGUUUGGAAAAGGCUUCUCCUGCAUACUCCAGAAUCCAGAUAACACUAAUUCAGGGGUAGUCCCACCGUCACAUAAUCGUACUGAAAUCAUAUACUAAUCCAUCUAUAGUAGCCUCACAUAGGAGUCGUACUAAUAUCACCGUUCAAUGUUACCUUGUCGAUCAUGAUCGUGCUCCUGUCUAGAGCAAGUUUAAUUGUGUUCCCUAGAACGUCAUAGCGAUACCAACCUGCCUGAUUAUGCAAUUUUCUAGAUCCCGGGUAUGUUGGAUUAAACUCUGCACACGCUCUACCUCUGUUAGCUUUGCACUGUAGUUAUUCUUCAGUUAACCGUAGCAGUUCUUGCUGUUUUCUUCAGUUAGCUGUUAGCAGGAAAUAAGGGCCUGUCAGUGAGCCUGUUCACGAUAUGGUCGUAGUUGUUUUUCUUUUGAUUAUUAGCUAGGUAGUUAGGCCGCACUAACCGCACCAUGGGAUGGCAUGGAGCAUGCGAGUAUUGCGGCAGUAGAGAUCACGCAUGACUUGGGCGUCGUGGGAUGGCACGACCUGUUAGCUCAGUCAGCGAUCUGAUCAGUUUGUUAGCUAUUUUGGUGGAUCGUUGGAGACCACAUAAAUAAGGGUGAAUCAGAAACAGAAAAGCUGCAGUUACAGCACGCAGCGCAAAAAAUACCUCUUGUGUUCAUCGUGUCCAAGUGAGCUGAGAGAGUGCGUGUUUGGCAACGUCAAUUGGUAUCAGAGCCUUGUUGCUUUGGUGACCAUGGUCGGAACACCACCAGCAAAGGUUGGAGGCGCCGCGGCGGCGGCGAAAGCGGCGGGCCGCACAUCGGACAGGUCAGUGACCCCGGUGGGCGGACGCGCGCAAAGUCGUGGCAGAAGCCGAAGCAGGCGUGGUGGCGGGGAGAUCGUGGUCCGGGAGAUCGUGCGCGAGGGCGGCGGCGGCGGCAGCGUCACCUUCCCCACCCUCACCAAGACGAAUUACCAGGAGUGGGCGAUCCUGAUGCGGAUCGCGCUCCAGGGCGCCGGCCUUUGGGAGGCCGUGGACACCGGCGACGCCAUGGAGCGGCAGGAGCGCCAGGCGCUCGGCGCGAUCCUCAGGUCCGUCCCGCCGGAGAUGGUUCCAGCACUCGCGGCCAAGGACGAGGCCAAGGCGGCCUGGGACAUGCUGAAGACGAUGCGCGUUGGUGACAAUCGCGUUCGCGAGGCUCGCCGCCAGAGGCUCUGCAAGGAGUUCGAGGCCAUGGCAUUCAAGUCCGGGGAAUCCGUCGAGGACUUCUCGAUGCGGAUGUCCGGCCUCGUCAGCGAGUUGCAGUCGCUCGGCGACAACACCACCGAGCUCGACGCCAUCUACAAGACUCUCCGCGUCGUGCCGACGCGGUACACGCAGAUGGCGUGCUCCAUCGAGACGCUGCUCGACCUCAGCACACUCACCAUCGAGGAGCUGAGCGGUCGCCUGGCCGCGUCAGAGGGGCGUGGCGCGCCGGAGCCAGAGGCCGGUGGCCGUCUGCUGCUCACGGAAGAGGAGUGGGCUGCAAGGCAGAAGCAGCGCGCCGGGGAGUCGAGCGGCAAGCAGGCCGCUGCGCCCAAGCCGCCGGCCGGUUUCAAGGGAGGAAAAGGCGCCACCGAGCGCCGCAAGGGCAACUGCCGGUACUGCGGCAAGGCCGGCCACUGGGCGAAAGAGUGCCGGAAAAGGCAGCGCGAUGAAGAGCGCGGCAACGUGCAAGCCAACCUUGCCCAAGCUCAAGAGGAAGAAGCACCUGCCAUGAUGAUGGUCAUCGUCACUGAAUCAACGGCGUCGCAGAUCGUGGCAUCGCAGACAGUGUUCCUCAAUGAGGAGAGGGUGUUCCCUGUGCCCUCACCAGAUGGACUGUGGUACUUUGACACUGGUGCAAGUAGCCACAUGACAGGGGAGAAGCAUGUCUUUGCAACCUUGGAUGAAACCGUGCGUGGCUCGGUGAAAUUUGGCGAUGGUUCCCUGGUCAGUAUCUGCGGAAAGGGAUCUGUUCUGUUUAGAGGGCAGUCAGGUGAUCAGCGCGUCCUCGCAGGCGUGUACUACAUCCCGAGCCUCCGGAGCAACAUAAUCUCCGUUGGCCAGCUGGACGAGGGAGGGUACAAGAUCGGCAUAGCAGAUGGCAUGAUGACGAUCCGUGAUCCCGUGCACAGCCUGCUCGCGCGCGUCAAGCGCACCGGCAAUAGACUCUACACUGGCAUCCUGUCACACGACACGCCAGUGUGCCUGAUGAGCAAGACCGACGACGCUGCCUGGAGAUGGCAUGCUCGUUUUGGGCAUCUGCACUUCCGUGCUCUCCACACUCUGUCUAGGCGAGACAUGGUGCGUGGCCUACCCAAGAUUCGUCGUGUUGAAGAGUACUGUGAUGGAUGUGCUUUGGGGAAACAACACCGCACGCCUUUCCCAAGCGCAUCAUCGUUCAGAGCACAGCAGAGCCUCGAGCUGGUCCACACUGAUCUUUGUGGCCUAAUCUCUCCGACGACGCCAGGAGGAAACAACUAUUUCUUGCUUGUCGUGGACGACUUCAGUCGUUACAUGUGGAUCGAGAUCAUCAAGGUGAAGAGUGAUGCAUACUACUUCUUCAACAAAAUCAGAGUCGCUGCAGAGGCGAUGGGCAACUGCAGGCUCCGGGCUUUCCGCUCCGAUCGCGGAGGAGAGUUCAAUUCAGGCGAGUGGCGCGAGCUCUGCGACACCAACGGCAUCCAGCACUACACGACGGCGCCAUAUUCCCCACAGCAGAAUGGGGUCGUCGAGAGACGAAACCAAACUGUCGUGGAGAUGGCUCGUUGUCUGCUCAAGAGCAUGAAGAUGCCGUCUCGUUUCUGGGGAGAGGCUGUCAGAACCACAGUCUACAUACUGAACCGUGCUCCUACUCGUGCACUCGAUGGCAUCACUCCGUAUGAGCUCUGGCAUGGCCAGAAACCGAACGUCCAGCACAUGCGUGUGUUCGGUUGUGUUGCUCACGUCAAGAGGGUUGGCCCUGGCAUCAACAAGCUUGCAGACCGCUCCACCAUGUGUGUGUUCAUUGGCUACGAAGCUGGCUCAAAGUGCUAUCGAGUCUAUGACCCAGCAACAGGCAAGCUGCAGGUGUCGCGCGAUGUUGUGUUUGAGGAAAGCAGAGCAUGGAACUGGGCAGAGGAGCAAGUGCAAGCGUCAGGCAACACAUCCUUCUCAAUGACGUAUGUCGAGGAGUCGGGCACCAUGCAGAUCGACACUGGCGUAGAGACACUAGCUGGGCAAGCUUCAAGUUCUUCUACUGGUGGCAGUUCCUCGAGGUCUGUCACGCCAGCGCCAGCGCCACUCACGCCCACCGGCACCGCUUCAACGCCGCUCACGCCAGCGGACAGACUGGCAUUCGUUGGGCAACGCCACUCACGCACGACGACGGCCGCGACACGGACACCGGGCCGAUUCGCUAUCGGCGCCUGUCCUGCGUCCUCGAUGCCACGGAGGAUGAAGCCAUCAGGGAGCUGGGCGAGCAGUGCAUGCUCGCUGCCGAAGAGCCUCAAAACAUCAACGAGGCAAUCGCAGAUGAAGCGUGGCGAGCUGCCAUGGACGAAGAAAUGGCAUCAAUCACUGAAAACAAAACCUGGGAGUUGUCUGCACUCCCUCGAGGCCACAAAGCGAUUGGCCUCAAGUGGGUUUUCAAAGUAAAGCGCGACGCCGCCGGCAACCUCGUCAAGUACAAGGCUCGCCUCGUCGCGAAAGGCUACGCCCAGCGCCAGGGGGUGGACUUCGAGGAGAUUUUUGCUCCGGUGGCCAGAAUGGAGACGGUGCGUGUCCUUCUCGCGCUGGCGGCACACUCUGGCUGGGAAGUACACCAUAUGGACGUAAAAUCUGCAUUCUUGAACGGUGUACUCAGCGAGGAGGUCUACGUGUGCCAGCCACCGGGAUACGUCGUCGCCGGCAAGGAAACUGCAGAAAGCUCUAUAUGGACUCCAUCAGGCACCUCGGGCAUGGUAUGAAAAACUUGAUGUUUCACUUGUUUCACUUGGAUUCAUCCGCAGUCCAGUAGAGCAUGCUGUGUACAAGAGGGGUGACAGCAAUUCAUACUUGCUGGUGGGAGUCUAUGUUGACGAUUUGAUCAUCACCGGCACUGAUGUACAGUUCAUCUCUGAAUUUAAACAUCAGAUGCAGCAACUCUUCAAAAUGAGUGAUCUGGGCCAUCUCAGCUACUACUUGGGGAUUGAGGUCACCCAAUCUGAUGGUCAGAUCACGCUGUGCCAGAGGAGAUAUGCUGAGAAGAUACUGGAGACUGCUGGCAUGAGCAACUGCAACAGCUGCCGCGUCCCAAUGGAGUGUCGUCUGAAGGUGAAGAAACAUGAUGACACAGGAGAGGCUGAUAAAACCCUCUACAGAAGUGUGAUUGGCAGCCUCAGGUACCUGGUAAACACACGGCCAGACCUUGCUCUUGCCGUAGGUGUUGCCAGCAGGUUUAUGGAAAAUCCCACUCAAAUUCAUUGGGGUUUGAUCAAGCAAAUUUUGAGGUAUGUACAAGGAACAUUGUCCUUCGGUUGCAGCUUCAGAAAAGGGGAAGGGGAUCCUGUACUUGUUGGAUACAGUGACAGCGAUCUAGCAGGUGAUCCAGAUGAUCGCAAGAGCACCUCUGGAGUCACCUUCUUUCUUGGCCACAACAUUGUUUCCUGGAGUUCACAGAAACAGAAAACUGUGGCCUUGUCCUCGUGUGAAGCAGAGUACAUUGCCGCUGCUGCAGGGGCGUGUCAGGGUGUGUGGCUCAGUCGCCUUCUUGGUGACCUGACCGGGCGAGCUCCUACAAAGUUCAGGCUUCUAGUGGACAACAAGUCAGCGAUCGCUCUGUGCAAGAAUCCAGUAUUUCAUGAUCGCCGUAAGCACAUUGACAUGAAGUUUCACUUCACCAGAACCUGCAUCGAGAGAGGUCAAGUGGAUGUGGAUCAUGUGCGCACGGAGGAGCAGCUGGCAGACAUUCUCACGAAGGCGCUUGGCUUCGUCAGGUUUAUCGAACUGCGUCGCUUGCUGGGUGUCGUCGAGGUGCAAGUUUAAGGGGGUGAAGUGUUGGAUUAAACUCUGCACACGCUCUACCUCUGUUAGCUUUGCACUGUAGUUAUUCUUCAGUUAACUGUAGCAGUUCUUGCUGUUUUCUUCAGUUAGCUGUUAGCAGGAAAUAAGGGGCUGUCAGUGAGCCUGUUCACGAUAUGGUCGUAGUUGUUUUUCUUCUGAUUAUUAGCUAGGUAGUUAGGCCGCACUAACCGCACCAUGGGAUGGCAUGGAGCAUGCGAGUAUUGCGGCAGUAGAGAUCACGCAUGACUUGGGCGUCGUGGGAUGGCACGACCUGUUAGCUCAGUCAGCGAUCUGAUCAGUUUGUUAGCUAUUUUGAUGGAUCGUUGGAGACCACAUAAAUAAGGGUGAAUCAGAAACAGAAAAGCUGCAGUUACAGCACGCAGCGCAAAAAAUACCUCUUGUGUUCAUCGUGUCCAAGUGAGCUGAGAGAGAACGAGUGCGUGUUUGGCAACGUCAGGGUAUACCGUGACACUAAAUCACACUUCGCGCCCAAUUGAGGCCAGGGAGGCAGGGAGUGUUGCUGAAAACAUGUCAAUUGCUCCCAAAUGUUUCUACACAUCUCAGCCCAUGAAGAUAAAUUGACGAAAAUAUGAGGAUAAACUGAGGCAAUCAGAUCUUGAUACCUGCAGCAAACUUGCCUGAUCUGGAUCCUCCAUGGAAACCUCGGUCGCUCUGGAGAGAAGGCCGGGGCAUCAGGAAGCUAGAUGCGAUGCGAUGCGUCGCGUCUCCUGAUCCCCUCCAUGCCCGCUACCUUCCACAGCAUAGCUUCUCCCCAUCCCCCGAUCUCGCUCGGCGCCGCCGCGGCUGGCGGAGGGAAGGCUCGUCAGCCCACCGGUUGUUUGGCUCGCCGCUGCCGUAAGAUGCCCCUGCUCGAGGCGCCGCCACUCUCUCAAGGGAAAAGGAGCUCGCUUGUUUUGCUGUUGGAGAGUGAAAAAAAAGAAGACCCU
Molecule: long non-coding RNA, 60941 nt
Filed under: Brachypodium distachyon (stiff brome)
Lineage: Eukaryota; Viridiplantae; Streptophyta; Magnoliopsida; Poales; Poaceae
Description: long non-coding RNA (BDIS_LNC001158)
Rfam family: tRNA (bases 1368-1439)
Source: RNAcentral